CCUCCAUUGAUCUACCAGGAGUUGGUUUAUAGGUUUCGAUCUCAUCAUAUUUCCGUAAUUUUAUUUAGAGUCUUUGUUGCACAUCGAACAUAUGCCGUGUUCCCGGUCAGUGUCUCGGUUUGUUGUCUUCGCCGUUGUUGUGGUCGUGUUGUCGCUCUUGUUGUAAUAUGGCUAUGGGAAACUGGAGUUUGUUGUAUGUACUCUACUUAAUCGGAAGAUUGUUGUGAAACUCAUUUCAUCAAUGAAACUCUGAACUCUUCAGACUACUACCUGUCUAUACAUGAUGUUUGGUAUAUAUAUGCUUCUCCCUUAAUUCUGGCUCCUAGCUAGUAUUUCACUUAUGUAAGAUAUUCUGCCGUGAAUUCAACUUGAGAUUUGAGAUUCAUAUAAAGUGCUGAAAUAAUAUUUUGAAGUAUUAGAUGAUGCUACGGAAUAUGUUAUGUGUGUUCAGGUAUACAGCAACUAGCACCCAUUGUAUGUUGUCUCUAGGUGACCCUUGAUCACUUCUUGGUAUGUUUCCAAGUCAUUGCUCAGCUGAAUGUUUGGUUUGUGUACGGAAUAUAUUCAUUACUCUCUUCAUCUCUUGCUAUAUUCUCAGGGGGGAAAAUGACUUGCAAUACUAAUCAGGUGACCUCAGCUCAGUGGAAAUGGUUGCAAGAUGCAUCUUACACCGACUUUGUUCACUUAUUCCAAUAUAUACUCUCUUUCGACAAUACAAGAGUAUGAAUUGGACUCACAACCAGUGUAAGAAAACUCACUUUCUACAAUACAAGAGCAUGAAUUGGCCACACAAUUGGAAUAAAAAAAACACUUUCUACAAUACUUGCUUCAGAAUCUUAGAUGACGUGGUAAUCACUGACUGUGCACCUUCUCUUCUCAGGGAAACCCUUUUUGGAGAUUAGUGAGGGACAUAUUAAAGACAUCAGGGAAAGAGCAAGUUCAGCAUUGCUCUUUUCAGUAAUCAGGGACAUACUAAAGACAUCAGGGAAAGCUCCAAAACUAAUAUUGCUAGACGCUGAUGAAAUGAAAGAACCAUAUGAUUUGGGCGGUAUGAUAUGUUUUCUUCAGUAAUAAUAAGCAGGCGUGUUACGUCGUAUUCUCUGGAAUGUCUGAAUUGUGAUUUCACUUAAUAGCUGACACCAAUGCCACCAGCAAUAAGCACCAAAUGCUGCUGCAUCAAAUCAGCAUUGUAUGGGCUGAUAUAUAAAGUAUAACCCCGUGUAAUAUUAACGAAUGUCGCAUUCCUUGCUUUUUCUGUAACGAACUUGAUUUCUUCCCAUGGGAGUUUCUUAGCCUUUUAGCUUAAUGUGUAGCCACUAUUUAUGUGCACAUGUCCACUCUCAACGCUGUUUUUGUGGUAGAGGUGAUGGGAUCAAAUGAGUCGCCAUUUGUGAACUGCGGGCCACCUGUUGCAUGUAAGCUCCACAAUAUGUCGAAUCAGAACCAAGAUCUCUAACUAGAAACCAAUUUACUGAAUUAAAACCAUUUUUGUUUACUGGUGUUGUCUUUUGCAGCCUGUGAUACUUCCAAUUCAGAUCAUAAGAAUCAGUCAGCUGGUCAUCCUGAGUGUUCCUGCAGGUAUAUCCCAAUUCGUCAAUCCUAGGAUGGCGGUUUUUCUCUCUCUCGAGAUGUGCUACAGCAUGCCAUGCUCCUGUUAUCCAAUGUUUGAGCUGGCAAGCAUGUGCUCAGAAACAAUAAGCGCCAGUACUCUUCAAUUAUUUUUGUGUGUGUUAUGUUUUGUCACAGAAUUGAGCAAUGAUGUUGGUUUUUACUGAUCAGUGGCAGCAAUGGUGAAUUUAAUACCAACAUUCAUGUUGUUCUUGCAAGGCUUACAAACACAUAUUAGUACUCCCUCCGUCCCAUAAUGUAAGACGUUUUUUGACACUAUACUAGAGUAAAAAAACGAGGGAGUAUGUUACAACAUUCGGAGAAUACCAGGUUCAAAAAUAUGAGGUAUGGCAGUAUGGGAGCUUUGCUUUGGUAUACCCCCUUAUUUUUAAAAUAAAUAAAUAAGCGAAGUACUCUUGGCCUCUGCAUCAAGUGAACGCACGUAGUCCAUAUGUCCCUGAAGGGCAGUACCGUGAAUGCUAUGUUCUGUUCGGCCUGUCCAAGGUGCGACCUUCUGACUAACGGUACCUUCGCGCUUGUUGAGAGGCUAAACGGUAAUGAUUGGAUCCCUGUCUAUGACGAUGACGAUUGGUCCUUGCGAUUCAAGUGGUCGAGGCCUUCGAAAUUCAGUCUAGAGAGUUUUGCGACACCAAAGUGGACCAUUCCUGAAGAUGCUGCCUCUGGUGUUUAUAGGCUGAGGCAUUUUGGUGCCUCCAAGCCGCUGAUAUGGUCGAUCAAGCAUUUUACAGGUAGCUCUCGCGCGUUUGCAGUAGUUAAGCAAUUCACAACUUGCGACGCUGUCGUAUGAAACUGCUGCUCUUAAUGCUUUUGUUACAAGGAAAUAUAUGGCGUGUACAUUAGGGAAAAUACAUCUCACUAUCGCGUGCAUGUUCAUACCCCCUCCGUUCCAAAAUAGAUGACCCAACUUUGUGGUCAUCUAUUUUGGAACGGAGGGAGUAUUAUACUAUCAUGUGGAUAUAUUCAGUGUUUUGCAAUAGCGGACAUAAAUUAUCCAUGGUUGACCACUGUUCUCAUCAUGCGAGGUUUACCGCCUUUAAGCAUUUUUUAAGUUGUGGAUGAUAAGUUGCAUAGAUAGUCAUCCUACAUGCCAACAUUGUAUUGAAGUGAAGGAGAGUCAUUAGAAUAUGAAACUUGAGCGACAAAUCAAGCAAACCCUUAUAACUGGACCUACAAAAUCUGGACCUCACAAGCAUGUUGAACUUAUCCCUGAACUAAAUAGACAUUAUUCAUCUAAGUUGCAUAUAAAAUCACCAUAGAAAAAUUAAGAGAACUAGUAAACCCAUAGCAUCAACUUGUUGGCAGGAUUUACCUUACGAACAAAAUUUUGAUGUCAGGACAUGAAUUUAUGAAACAAACAACUGCAAAUGCUAGGUUUGCUCACCAUGAAAUCCCGAAUAGAAAACAGUAUCAAAACCUGAACAGAAAAAAUCAUAGCUGGCUUCAGGAUUUAGCUUGCCACCGUACUCUGACGUCGAAGCCUACUCGUGUGCUCCGCCCACCAUAUAACCACACGCAGCUGUGUUGAGGCCGGCCGGCGCUUGCUGAUGCCACCCGUCGAGCCGGCCGCAGGCUCCCAAUUAGCUUCUAAACCUUUGGGUAAAAGGAAACGGUCUUAGAAAUUGUCCAUGUAUUUGUAUGAGCACACAACUAGUAAAGACUCCUUAAUCUGAAUCGGGUUAUUCAUUCUCUGUAAAUGGCUUAACAAACUCCAAAAUACAACACUCGCCUUGUCCUGUUCUUAUGCAACUAACCCAAUUAAUGUUUGCUAACAGGAAAAAUUGUUGUGCCUUGUACAGAAUCUUUGAUUUGUUGCAACUUCCGAAGACACUAGUUGUGAAUUCCAAUCAGGUAACUGCAUAGUCCAGCUAGCAGCAGCUAUGCUUGAUUGUACAAUCUUCGAACCAAACUAAUUUCCUGGCACGCAUGACCAUCCUCCUGAAGUGACUGAUGCAAGCAACUUUGAUAUAACAAACUGAAGAGCAGUCAAACCCCAAUCCUAACCAAUCAGAACAAUAAUGUUCUCGCCGGCGCACCAUUCCCUCGUCUGCAAGUCCCUUGCAUACAUAUUCUUCUGCUCCUAGAUUCUUGGCAGGAUUCCAAUUCCUCGUUUGCCUAGUAAAUUCAUAAAACAUAGAGUUAGCAUCAUCGAUAAAAUUUCAUCUUAAGAAUAGCACAGAACAAAAAACCUCGUAAAGUGAAUAUUCUUUAAUUGAAGAAAUAUUGCUUGUAUGUAUAUAUGUGGAAAUUUCAAUUACUCGGUACAGGUUGAUUCUUUAUGUACAUCGUUACUAACAUCCAAUUAAGAGAAUUAACACAAAAUUAAGAGAAUCAACCUGUACCUAGCUGAAAGUGCUAAUUCUCUGUAAUUUUGUGUUACUAACAUCCAAUUAAGUGCUAAUUCUUUAUGUAUCCGUGGGAGUGGGCAACCGAGUCGACCUAAAAUUACAUCGGCUAAAGUUUCGCUCGGUCAUUCUUCACCCGGGGUCACUAAUAGACUUUCUAUAGGGUCGCGCUAUUUGGCCUUCCUGAUAUUUUAUUUAGAUAAAGCUACUCAGGUAAUCUUACAAUAGCGAGGCAUUCCUGAUUUUCUUUUAGAUAUAAGUCUGUCUUCCUUAGUUCAUGUAAACUGACACAAAUAAAAUUUGGAGCCACCUAGAAUAUGGACACAAAGGAUCUUGGCCGCUCAUGUAAGAAAAUGGUAACCAAAGCGCAAGAAAAAUAGGACUUGCGAAGUGGCAAAAUGAAAGAAGACUUGUAGGAACACCGCCCACUAAUUGAACCAGCCAAUCAGACAUGUAAAAGAUUGAGACCCGCUGUGAGAAUUUGAGAGCUCACAUAAGAAGAAUAUUUGUAACACACGGUAAAAUAAUGAACUUUAUCAACACAAUUAUUUUAUGUACCAACACAUAAGGCAUUUGUACAAUAAUUAGGACGACCGAUGUCUUGGCACGAGUAACAUUAGAAUUCAUUUUUAUCAUGAUGCUUUACAAUUGUAAAAAAAAUCAUGAUGCUUUAUAUGAAGAAGAUGGAAGAACAAACAGAUUCGGAAACCAAAUCAUUAUGAUUCAUUUGUUUCUUCCAAGAAAGUACUUCCACUGACCACUUGGCUUUGUUAUCCAUGGGCUUUUAGCUAUUGUGUCCCAAGAACAUGGCAUACCAUCAGACAACACAUGAAUUCACACCCAAAAAAGAAAGAAAACAAUGCGCAUUGCAGCCGCAAUCUAGUGGACACCCAGCCAGAUAGAGAGAAAUCACAAAACAUCAAGUGUUGUAGCCAGCCGAAUCAAGAUGGAGUCGCUACAACAGGGAUGCCUUAAAUCUGGGACAUAAUGAGUUGUAUGCCUUGCUCAUUUCCGAAAAAGGGUUCCCCCGCUUUGUAUACAAAGCAGCCAACCGAACCAUACAGGAAUAGGUGCUGGGGCGGAAGCAGCACAAUCACGCCCAAAAGAAACGACAGAGAAAGAGCAAAAGAAACAAAUGCCGACAACGGCGGAUCAACAAAAACGAAGAAGCCACGCGAUCGUUGUGCCCACCAGGAUCUUCCACUAGGCUCCAAGACUCCGAAGCGCCGGCACCUAUCAACACCUCCAAGAAGGAUCGCGACGAUGACGACGUUGCUGCCAAGGGUUCCCCCCAGUACACAACGAGGCGAGAGGAAGGGUAGCCCCCAACGCCCUCCUGGAAGGUCAAGUGGCACCCACAGGCGCCACCGCGCCGGUGUCGGCCAUGCCGAGAGGGGUUUCCCCCGAUCCCAACCCACACCUCGGGCGCUACGGAUCCAGUCACCAAACCAACCACCACCCUGCGCCAACGCGGUCAUGAGGCCCCCACGCCAUCUCACCACGGCACCGCGAAGUGAGGACAGCGUGGCGAAGAAUCAGAGUCGGGACUAGGGCAUCAGCACCUCGGCACGCGGGAGGGCCCCACCUCCACCGUCAGCGAUGGUAGCCGUCCGGACGCAAUAGCAAGAGCACACCAGGCCUGUGGGCCCACAGGCCCGGCCGAGCCCUCGUGGGCCUGUAAAGCUCCCGCCUUCGCGCAGCAGCAGCACGCCACCGGCGCCAACACCCCAUAUCUGAGCCGCUCCUCCUCCUCACCGCGCCACAGACAACGAGGCCACGCCGAGGGCUAGCCCUCUAGGACCCAGAUGGGGCCCGCCGGGCCCAGAUCUGGUCCGGGGCGCGACGGCGGCCACCCAGCACCACCACGCUGCCCUGCCGCUAAGGAGCAGCGCCGCCAUCACGUCCGCCGUCGGCCACCCCGCCAGGUCACCGGACCGCCGCCAAGCCGAGCGACACCGCCUCCGCCCCCUGCCUCGGGCCAAGAGGACGCGUGAGGGAGUCCUGGAUUAAGGGGUCCUCGAACGGCCGGACUAUGCAACAUGGGCCGGACUGAUGGGCUAUGAAGAUACAAGACCGAAGACUCUCUCCCGUGUCCGGAUGGGACUCUCCUUGGCGUGGAAGGCAAGUUUGGCGCUCGGAUAUGAAGAUUCCAUUCUCUGUAACUGACUUUGUGCAACCCUAGUCCCCUCUGGUGUCUAUAUAAACUGAGGGUUUAGUCCAUAAGGGCAAUCAUAAUCAUACAUGCUAGACUUCUAGGGUUUUAGCCAUUACCUCGAUAGAGAGGGCCCGAACCUAGGUAAACAUCGUGUCCCCCGCCUCCUGUUACCAUCAACCUUAGACGCACAGUUCGGGACCCCCCACCCGAGAUCUGCCGGUUUUGACACCGACAUUGGUGCUUUCAUUGAGAGUUCCGCUGCGUCGUCACCAAAAGGUUUGAUGGCUCCAUCAAUCAUCUACAACAAUGCAGUCCAGGGGGAGGUUUUCCUCCCCGGAUAGAUCUUCUUAUUCGUCGGCUUCGUAUUGUGGGCCAACUCACUUGGCCAUCUAGAGCAGAUCGACAGCUACGCCCCUGGCCAUCAGGUCAGGUUUGGAAGCUUGAAAUAUGUCGCCGAUAUCCGCGGAGACUUGAUCUUCGACGGAUUUAAGCCCAUGGCAGCCGCUCCCGGCCACCACGAUGAACAUGACCUAAAUCUGUCAUUGGACCGUGCCCAGGUGAUAGCGCCUAUUAACUGCUCUAGCCCUGGAUCCGGAGCAGAUUGCGUCGCCCGAGGACGGGAAGCUCAACCCCGCCGCGGAAGCCGCAGACUCAUUGAUGUUAGAGCCGGACACAGAUCCGACCUCGAGGGGGCCUGUGUCACUGGAACCUCGGAUUCGUCUCUGGCCAUAGGUUCCGAACCGCGUGCAUCCGCGCCCAUCGAAUCUGAUCAGGCGCCGAUUGUUGAGUUCAGCUCCGCGGACAUCUUCCGCCCUCACCUUUAGGCGAUGUGCUAAACUCAUUAAGAACCCUCUCCUUAUCAAGGAACUCUCAGUCAAACUAUAUCUGGUUCAAAUUGGGAGCUGAGGGCGAAGAAUUCCUUUUCCCACCCACCACCCACUUCGUAGCCACUGCCGAAGAUUUAACCGACAUGCUCGAUUACGGCUCCGAAGAAAUCGACAGUAUGGACGACGAUGCCGGAGAGGAGUAGACACUAGAACCUCCAUGCACAGGGCGCUGGACAACCACCUCCUCGUAUGACGUAUACAUGGUGGAUACACCCAAAGAGAACAACAACGAUAACAAAAAGGAUCCAGCCGAGGAUAGGCCUCCAGAGAAGCAGCCAAAGCACAGCGGCGCCGCUCUAGACCACGCCAUGGAAAAAACAGCAAUACCAGCAUAGAAGAAAAUACUCCGGACGAUGCCGAAGACAACGAAGACCCCAUUGAGCCAACUUCCGAACAGGAUGAACGGGAGGAUGGGCGAGUCAGCCCUAAUGAACAAGCCAUUAACAAAGAUUCGGAGGACAACAAUUAUCUUCCACACUCCGAGGAUGAGGCGAGCCUUGGCGACGAAGACUUCAUCGUGCCUGAGGAGCCCAUCGACUAGGAGCGCUUUAAGCGCGGCUAAUAGCCACUGCAAGGAGCCUGAAAAAGAAGCAGCAGCAGCUUAAAGCUGAUCAAGAUCUCCUUAGUGACAGAUGGACUAAUGUCCUGGCAACCAAGGAAUACAGCCUCGAGUGCCCAACCAAAAGUUACCUGAAGCGCAAAUUAUUACCCCAAUUCGAUGACGAGGCGCUGGAGCCCGUCCUACCAGCGUAUAAUGCGGCUGACCGACCACCACAUGGCCGGGAUAAAGCGGCAACUUAAGCCGAACACCAGCCCACACUACCUCGCCAAAAAAACAGAGACAUAACAGCUCGGGGAUAUACAUAUGACCUGCGGCAUGACCUGGAAAACAGAGCGGGUCAGACUAGAUCGAUCUAUGGAUCGCGGGGGCGUGCCUUGAUGCGCGAUGACGACCAUUCGACCGAACGUGAAAAAUAUAACCAUGACCGGGCCGAAUACCGCAGAUUAACUCCAUCCGAGUUAUGUCGCGACGUGGCCUGACAUAGAGGCACCGCACACCCCCUCUGCUUCACUGAUGAAGUAAUGGGACAUGAAUUCCCAGAAGGGUUUAAACCCGUGAACAUCGAAUCAUAUGAUGGUACAACAGACCCCGCGGUAUGGAUUGAAGAUUUUCUCCACCAUAUUCAUAUGGCCCGCGGUGAUGACCUUCACGCCAUCAAAUACCUCCCGCUAAAACUCAAGGGACUUGCUCGGCACUGGGUGAACAGUUUGCCAGAAAACUCAAUUGGCAGCUGGGAGGACCUGGAAGACGCCUUCCUCGACAACUUCCAGGGUACAUGCGUCCGACCUCCAGAUGCCGAUGACUUAAGUCACAUUGUUCAACAGCCCAGAGAGUCAGCCAGGAAAUUCUAGACCAGAUUCUUAACUAAAAAGAACCAGAUCGUCGACUGUCCGGAUGCCGAAGCCCUAGCGGCCUUUAAACAUAGCAUCCGUGACGAAUGGCUCGCCCGACACCUCGACCAAGAAAAGCCGAAGUCUAUGGCAGCCCUCACGAUGCUUAUGACCCGCUUAUGUGCGAGCGAGGAUAGCUGGCUAGCUCGCAGCAAUACCAAUGAACCUAGCACUUCUAAAGCAAGAAAUAGCAACGUCAAGCCCCGACGCAAUAGACACAAGCGUUGAAGCAACAAUGACUACACCGAGGACACGACGAUCAACGCCGGAUUCAGUGGCUCUAAGUCCAGUCAGCGGAAGAAGCCAUAUAAAAGGAAUAAUCUGGGCUCGUCCAACUUGGACCGCAUCCUCGAUCGCCCAUGUCAAAUCCACGGCACCCCUGAUAAACCAGCCAACCAUACCAACAAAGAGUGUUGGAUUUUUAAACAGGCCGACAAGUUAAAUGCCGAGAAUAAGGAGAAGGGGUCACAAAGCGAGGACGAUGACGAGGAGCCCCGGCCACCGAACACAGGGGGACAGAAGAAGUCCCCCCCCCCAAGUUAAAACGGUGAACAUGAUAUACGCUACCCAUAUCCCCAAGAGGGAGCGCAAGCGCGCGCUCAGGGACGUCUACGGGAUGGAGCUAGUCGCCCCAAAAUUCAACCCAUGGUCGUCCUGCCCGAUCACUUUCGAUCGCAGGGAUCAUCCGACCAGUAUCCGUCAUGGCAGUUCAGCCGCACUGGUCCUCGACCCAAUCAUUGAUGGAUUCCAUCUCACACGAGUCCUCAUGGACGGUGGCAGCAGCCUGAACCUGCUCUAUCAGGAUACAGUGUGCAAAAUGGGUAUUGAUCCCUCAAGAAUCAAGCCCACAAAAACUACCUUCAAAGGAGUGAUACCAGGUGUAGAGGCCCAUUGUACGGGCUCAAUCACACUGGAAGUGGUCAUCGGAUCCCCGGAUAACUUCCAAAGCGAAGAGUUGAUCUUCGAUAUCGCCCCCUUCCGUAGUGGCUAUCACGCACUGCUCGGAUGAACCAUAUUUGCUCGAUUCAAUGCGGUGCCGCACUACGCUUAUCUCAAGCUCAAGAUGCCCAGACCACGCGGUGUCAUAACAGUCAAUGGAAACACGGAACACUCUCUUCGUACCGAGGAGCACACCGCUGCCCUUGCAGCAAAAGCAUAGAGCGGCCUUUUUAGGCAAAACUUUAAUUCAGCGGCCAAGCUCCCAGACACUGUCAAGUGAGUCCGGACUACUCUGCAGCAGGACAGUCCAGCUCGUCAAGAGCUUGACUAGCAAUUUGGCCUCCGUCCCAGCCCCGACCAAACAGCGGCACUAGUACCGCGCGUACAUAACUACGCACUCAAAAUACCAUGAGCAUGUACGAAGGCACAACUAGAUCAUGGUCCAUAAUACGGUUCAACCUCUCGUGGACCAACAUACUUUCACUUUUUAUUCUUCUUUUCAGGUUUCUUUUUUCCAGGCCUUUCCUGGUGGCCUGAUUGUCGAUCCUUUCGAAGGACAUACACAUACCAAGGCGGGAAGCAGUACGGACGCGUGAGGGAAUCUCUAGAUGUUCUUCUCAAUGAUCAUUCUACCUGUCUUCGGAACUCGCAUGGAGCUCCCCCCGGUCUUGGCAGGUUAAUCAACUAUAUUGUUUAUCAUACUAUUUGUACAAAUAUGCUUUGACGUAUCAAUCAAAUUACAAUAAAAACAGUUGCAGCCCAAUUUAGGUGACAUUAACUUGCUUUUUCAUUUUAUUUUGUUAUUCUUAUCGAUUGCACCCAUACACUUUGGUACGCUUUUAAUUCGGCAGGGGCUUCAUUACGCCCCAUAACACGACAACAAAGUCCGAACACUUUUUUAUAGUACAGUUCGGCACCCCGAACUUAUAGCAUUAUAUGCAUUGGCUCCGAAUCAUGUCUUUGGUCAAUAGUUGGGUUGCCCGGCUCCUGUGCUUACUACCUUACGUUUCUCUAUAUCGGCUAGGGUAGUAAAGGGAGAACUACUGCGAUUGUGUCCUCAUUCAUCCGGAUGAGCACCUCAGUAGAGAAAGCCGAAAACUGACUGUCAUGAUGCGUCGAGAGCCGGUCAGCUGUUCGAGAGGACACAAAUCUUUUGCGAUUUUUUCCGCAUUACGCGACGAAUCGGUUUUUAUCCGAUCAGGCAUUUACAGUACCCCAAGUUCGGACUUACGAACACUAGGGGCUGCGCCUACAUUUCUAUUGUCAAACUCCUAUGGCUAAGUGAGGAUGAUAAAGCCACAUAGUCUGAUUGCCUAGUUCGUUGCGCUAAACACCUCCUUUAAGGACCAAACUCUGGAGUAAAGAGUGUUUAGAUUUAGCCUGAACACCCCCGUACUUCCUACGUGGGGGCUGAAGCCGACGACUGGCCAACUCUCAGAUUUAACAAAACGGCCGCACAAGAGGUAAAAUUUUAAAUAACAGGCAUAUAUUACAUAAUGGUUCUAUUUCAUAAGUACAGGACAGGAUAACAUGAAUGUAUUCAUUCAAAGAUAAUAUUCUUAGCACAUUGCUCUGCCACAAUGCGGGAUCCCUCCAGGACACUGUCAAAAUACAGCUCGGGCGUGCGGUGCUCCUUGCCCGCGGGUAGUCCCUCGGUUACAAGCUUCACGACGUCCAUCUUCACCCAAUGCAUCUUGACUCGGGCGAAGGCCAUUCACGCGCCUUCGAUACGGACCGACCGCUUGACAGCAUCAAUCCGAGGGUAGGCAUUGACCAGCCGCUUCACGAGUCCGAAGUAGCUGCUGGGUAUGGCUUCGGCAGGCCAUAGCCGGAUUAUUAAAUCCUUCAAGGCUAGUUCGGCCACCCUAUGUAAUUCGACCAGCUGUUUUAACUGGCCGCUAAAGGGCACCGGAUGUUCUGGCGCAAGGUAUUACGACCAGAACAACUUCUCCGUGGAGUUCUUCUCUUCGGCUCGGAAGAACUCCGCAGCAUCUAAAAUGCUGCAUGACAGAUCUGCAAACGCCCCUGGAGAACUCCAAAUCCGGGUCAGUGAGAGGAACCUUUUCUUCACAUAUUUGCUUUGCAUAAUAAAUCCCUUACCCGCCGCGAUUUUUCUGGCCUCCUUGACUUCCUGGAGGGCGCCCUGGGCUUCAACCCGGGCACCGUGUGCGCUUUGGUGAGCCUUGGUCAGUUCGAUCUCUUGAUCCGCAAUGUUGCGCUCCAAGGACUCACAUUUCUUUACAGCGUCCUAGAGCUCUUGCUGGACCUCAACGACCCUGGCCUCAUGCUUUUCACAGGCGGCUUUUUCCUUGGCCGCUCUUUCCUCGGCCUCGGCCAGAGCCUUCUUGAGGGUCUCCACCUCGGUCGCCGCUCCUAAUGAAUGUCAUGACACUUUAGUCAGCACAAGUCAUUCAUCCUUCCUGAAUAUCGACAAGGUUACUUCAUACCUUGAUUGUCUUCUAGCCGUUUCUUCACACGACCGAGCUCUUCCUCAGUCCGCUCCAGACUCUGCUUCAGUUCGAGACUUCAGCAGCAUGAGAGGUCGCAGCUAGCAGCGACGCCUACUUAUUCAUAUAGACAUGUCAGUUUGAUCUCUUGCGAAAAUUAUUUGAUCCUCUGUUCGGCUUUUCUUUCUGAACACCGGACAGAGUCUCAGGGGCUACUUUCCAUACUAUGACACUCUUUUUAAAUAAUUGCGUUGCUUACCUCAAAGCCUGUCAGAAGGCUUGUGCAGGCUUCGGUCAGUACGCUCUUCGCGGACUGAAUAUUCUCAACCACCGUACUGAUACGUCUCCAACUUAUCUAUAAUUUUUGAUUGUUCCAUGCUAUUAUAUUACCUGUUUUGGAUGUUUAAUGGGCUUUAUUAUACACUUUUAUAUUAUUUUUAGGACUAACCUAUUAAUCGGAGGCCCAGUCCAAAUUGCUGUUUUUUUGCCUAUUUCAGUGUUUUAUAGAAAAGGAAUAUCAAACGGAGUCCAAACAGAAUGAAACCUUCGGGAGAGUUAUUUUUGGAAUAAACGUGAUCCAGAGGACUUGGAGUGGACGUCAAGAAAGAAGCGAGGAGGCCACGAGGCAGGGAGGCACGCCUACCCCCCUGGGCAUGCCCCCACCCUCGUGGGCCCCUCGUGGCUCCCUUGACCGACUUCCUUCUCCUACUUAUACCCAUAUACUCCGAAAACAGCCAGGAGCACAAUAGAUCGGGAGUUCCACCGCCGCAAGCCUCUGUAGCCACCAAAAACCAAUCGGGACCCUGUUUCAGCACCCUGCCGGAGGGGGGGAUCCCUCACCGGUGGCCACCAUGACGAGGAGGGAGUAGUUCACCCUCGGGGAUGAGGGUAUGUACCAAUAGCUAUGUGUUUGAUCUCUCUUUCUCUCUCUCGUGUUCUUGAUUUGGCACGAUCUUGAUGUAUCACGAGCUUUGCUAUUAUAGUUGGAUCUUAUGAUGUUUCUCCCCCUCUACUCUCUUGUAAUGGAUUGAGUUUUCCCUUUGAAGUUAUCUUAUCGGAUUGAGUCUUUAAGGAUUUGAGAACACUUGAUGUAUGUCUUGCAUGUGCUUAUCUGUGGUGACAAUGGGAUAUUCACGUGAUCUACUUGAUGUAUGUUUCGGUGAUCAACUUGCGGGUUCCGUAACCUUAUGAACAUAUGUAUAGGGGUUGGCACACCUUUUUGUCUUGACUCUCCGGUAGAAACUUUGGGGCACUCUUUGAAGUUCUUUAUGUUGGUUGAAUAGAUGAAUCUGAGAUUGUGUGAUGCAUAUCGUAUAAUCAUACCCACGGAUACUUGAGGUGACAUUGGAGUAUCUAGGUGACAUUAGGGUUUUGGUUGAUUUGUGUCUUAAGGUGUUAUUCUAGUUCAAACUCUAUGAUAGAUCGAACGGAAAGAAUAGCUUCAUGUUAUUUUACUACGGACUCUUGAAUAGGUCGAUCAGAAAGGAUAACUUUGAGGUGGUUUCAUACCCCUACAAUAAUCUCUUCGUUUGUUCUCCACUAUUACUUACUUUGGAGUGACUCUUUGUUGGAUCCCGAGGGAUAGUUAUAUGAUCCAAUUAUGUUAUUAUUGUUGAGAGAAGUUGCACUAGUGAAAGUAUGAACCCUAGGCCUUGUUUCCUAGCAUUGCAAUACCAUUUACUCUCACUUUUAUCGCUUGUUACCUUGCUGUUUUUAUAAGUUCAGAUUACAAAAACCUAUAUCUACCAUCAAUAUUGCACUUGUAUCACCAUUUCUUCGCCGAACUAGUGCACCUAUACAAUUUACCAUUGUAUUGGGUGUGUUGGGGACACAAGAGACUCUUUGUUAUUUGGUUGCAGGGUUGUUUGAGAGAGACCAUCUUCAUCCUAUGCCUUCAACGGAUUGAUAAACCUUAGGUCAUCCACUUGAGGGAAAUUUGCUACUAUCCUACAAACCUCUGCACUUGGAGGCCCAACAACGUCUACAAGAAGGUUGCGUAGUAGACAUCAAGCUCUUUUCUGGCGCCGUUGCCGGGGAGGUGAGUGCUUGAAGUUAUAUAUUUAGAUCUUGCAAUCGAAUCUUUUAGUUUAUUGUACUAUCACUAGUUUAGUCUAUAAAAGAAAACUACAAAAAAAAUUAGAAUUGAGGGUUCCUCAUAUGCUUCAUCUUUUUAAUGUCUUUCAUGAAAAUGAUGGGAAGGAAAAUUGUGCUCAAGUACUAGAAGAAGAAUUACAUAGAAUGCUUGGCAUAAAAUAUGUGAAUAAUGAGCAUGAUUGUAAUGUUGUUAGUAUGAAUUCUUUGAAUACCCAUGAUGCUAAUGAUAUGCAAAGCCACAAGCUUGGGGAUGCUAUGUUUGAUGAAGAUGACAUGUUUAGUCCUCCAAGUUUUGAUGAGAAUAUUUAUUAUGAUGAAAGCAUGCCUCCUAUUUAUGAUGAUUAUAUUGAUGAAAGUGGGUUUGGAAGAGUGUCAACUUUAGGAAGUAAUGAUCCCACUAUUUUGGAGGAUGUUUUAUAUUAUUGUGAUAAUUAUGAAAGUGGAUUUGGAGAGGUCAUGACUUUAUUUAGUGAUGAAUCCACUACUUCGGAAGAGGUUCCAAUUGAUUAUGAGAAUAAAGUUGCUAUCUAUGAUGAUUAUUAUGAUGACAUGUAUGCUAUAAAGAAUAAUGAUAACCAUGAAACUUGUCAUCAUGAUUUUAGUUUUCAAUUGGAUUUUGCCUCACAUGAUAGUUAUUUUGUUGAGUUUGCUCCCACUAUUAUUCAUGAGAAGAAAUUUGCUUAUGUGGAGAGUAAUAAAAAUUCUAUGCUUGUAGAUAAUGAAAAGAAUGUUUUAUGUGAUGGUUAUAUUGUUGAAUUCAUUCAUGAAGCUACUGAAAAUUAUUAUGAGGGAGGAAUAUAUGCUUGUAGGAAUUGCAAUAAUAUCAAGUUUCCUCUCUAUGUGUUGAAAAUCUUGAAGCUAUGGCUGUUUUGCUUUCCUUUGCUAGUUGAUUAUUGUUCCCAUAAGUUGUUUGCUCACAAAAUCCCUAUGCAUGGGAAGUGGAUUAGGCUUAAAUGUUCUAGUCAUAUUCUUCAUGAUGCUCUCUUUAUGUUUCAAUUCUUAUCUUUUAUGUGGGCAUGAUUGAAAUCAUCAUGCCUAGCUAGGGCCGUUAAACGAUAGCGCUUGUUGGGAGGCAAAACAAUUUUAAUUUUAUCCUUUGUUUUUGCUCCUGUUUAGUAAUAAAUAAUUCAUCUAGCCUCUGGUUAGAUGUGGUUUUGUGUUUUAAUUAGUGUUUGUGCUAAGUAGAACCUUUGGGAAGACUUGGGUGAAGUCUUUAUGAUCUUGCUGUAAAAAACAGAAACUUUUGCGCUCACGAGAUUAGCUGCCAUUUUUUACUGGAGAGUGAUUUUAGGUUGAUUAGUUUUGCAGAAGAUUAAUAGACAAAUUCCUCAGGUCUACCAAUUUAUUUCAGAUUUUUUGGAGUUACAUAAGUAUGCGUUUGAUACAGAUUGCUACAGACUGUUCUGUUUUUGACAGAUUCUGUUUUCAUUGUGUUGUUUGCUUAUUUUGAUGAAUCUAUGAGUAGUAUCGGAGGGUAUGAACCAUAGAUAAGUUGGAAUACAGUAGAUAUUACACUAAUAUGAAUUUAUAAUGAGUUAACAACAGUACCAAAAGUGGUGAUUUAUUUCCUUAUACUAACGGAGCUUAUGAGUUUUCUGUUGAGUUUUGUGUUGUGAAGUUUUCAAGUUUUGGGUAAAGAUUCGAUGGACUAUGGAAUAAGGAGUGGCAAGAGCCUAAGCUUGGGGAUGCCCAAGGCACCCCAAGGUAAUAUUCAAGGACAAUCAAGAUCCUAAGCUUGGGGAUGCCCCGGAUGGCAUCCCCUCUUUCAUCUUCGUUCAUCGGCAACUUUACUUGGAGCUAUAUUUUUAUUCACCAAAUGAUUUGUGUUUUGCUUGGAGCCUCAUUUUGUUUUAUUUUGUUUUGCUUGCUGUUUGAAUAAAUUACUUAAGAUCUGAAGUUUUAUUUAUGAGAAGGAGUCUUGCUAGUUGGGUAAUUGUUUUGAGAUAUAAAGGUGGUAAUGUUAGAGUCAUGCUAGUUGGGUAAUUGUGAAAUUGAGAAAUACUUGUGUUAGAGUUGGCAAGUCCCGUAGCAUGCACGUAUGGUAAAAGUUGUGUGACAAAUUUGAAGCAUGGGGUGUUCCUUGAGUGCUUUCCGUAUGAGUGGAGGUCGGGGAGGAGCGAUGGUCUUUUCCUACCAAUCUAUCUCUUUAGGGGCAUGCGUAGUAGUACUUUGCUUCGAGGGCUAAUAAACUUUUGUAGUAAGUAUAAGAGUUCUUUAUGACUAAUGUGAGUCCAUGGAUUAUACACACUCUUACCCUUCCGCAAUUUGCUAGCCUCUACGGUACCGUGCAUUGCCCUUUAUCAACUUGAGAGUUGGUGCAAACUCCACCGGUGCAUCCAAACCCCGUGAUACGAUACGCUCUAUCACACAUAAACCUCCUUAUAUCUUCCUCAAAACAGCCACCAUACCUACCUAUUAUGGAAUUUCCAUAGCCAUUCCGAGAUAUAUUGCCAUGUAACUUUCCAUUGUUUCGUUUAUUAUGACACGCUUAAGGAUGGCAAUGGGUCGGGUUUGGAUCGGGUUGAACAAUAUCAAAUCCAUAUCCAUAUCCAUGAAGACAACCUUUGCCCGCCCAUGAAAAAAUCCAUGGGUGAAAAAUUGUGUCCAUGUCCAAAUCCGAUGGAUAUCCAUUUCCACUGGAUAUCCAUUGGGUCCUCUCGAGACAUAUAAAAUAAGACUUAACACAAUAUUAACAUAAACUCUUCCAUUCUUCACCUCAUGGCAGGCCAGGCUUCACUUAUGGUAAAUCAACAUACAGUAACAACCUAAGAUCAUUUAUUAUUUUUCUAAUAGAUGAGAAUGACGAGUCAUUUAAGAAGGAGAUAAAAAUAAGGGAAGGGGUGUUGGAGUAUGUUACGGAGGGGAUUGACUAUCAACUUAUAAAAGUUACGAUGGGGAUUGUUUAAUUUCUUAUGCAUGUUUUAGAUAAAAAAAGUGUAAGAUUGCAGUGGGACAUGUGAACAUGGGGCAGGGAUAGCAGAAUUUUUUUCCCAUUAAGUCAUACUAUCAGGUCGGGUUUCGGUAUAUCCAUGGGUACAUGAUUAUAUCCAUGGCCUACCCAUAAACAAUCGGGUCGGGUUUGGGCGCCGCCCAUGGACACAAAAGCAUAUCCAAACCCUAUCCAUUCAGGCCGGAUAUCCAUGGAUAUCCAUGUCCAUGGAUAAAAUUGCCAUCUUCACAUGCUCCAUCAUUUUCAUAUUGCUUUUGCAUGAUCAUGUAGUUGACAUCGUAUUUGUGGCAAAGCCACCUUUAUAAUUCUUUCAUACAUGUCGCUCUUGAUUCAUUGCAUAUCCCGGUACACCACCGGAGGCAUUCAAAUAGAGUCAUAUUUUGUCCUAAGUAUUCAGUUGUAAUUCUUGAGUUGUAAAUAAAUAGAAGUGUGAUGAUUUCCAUUAUUAGAGCAUUGUCCCAUGUGAGGAAAGGAUGAUGGAGACUAUGAUUCCCCCACAAGUCGGGAUGAGACUCCGGACUUUAUGAAAAAUAAACGAGGCCAAAGAAGCCCAAACAAAAAAAGAGGCCAAAGAAGCCCACCAAAUAAAAAAAAGGAAAAGAAAAAAAGAGAGAAAAAGAGAGAAGGGACAAUGUUACUAUCCUUUUACCACACUUGUGCUUCAAAGUAGCACCAUGAUAUUCAUGAUAGAGAGUCUCUUAUGUUGUUACUUUCAUAUAUUAGUGGGAAUUUUUCAUUAUAGAACUUGGCUUGUAUAUUCCAAUGAUGGGCUUCCUCAAAAUGCCCUAGGUCUUCGUGAGCAAGCAAGUUGGAUGCACACCCACUUAGUUUCUUUUUGGUGAGCUUUCAUACAUUUAUAGCUCUAGUGCAUCCGUUGCAUGGCAAUCGCUACUCCUUGCGUUGACAUCAAUUGAUGGGCAUAUCCCUAGCCCGUUGAUUAGCCACGUCAAUGUGAGAAUUUCUCCUUUUUUGUAUUCUCUCAUAAACCCCUAUCAUCAUAUUCUAUUCCACCUAUAGUGCUAUAUCCAUGGCUUGCGCUCAUGUAUUGAGUAAGGGUUGAAAAUGUUGAAGCGUGUUAAAAAGUAUGAACCAAUUGCUCGGCUUGUCAUCGGGGUUAUGCAUAAGGGGAGUAUUUUGUGUGACGAAAAUGAAGCAUGGCCAAACUAUAUGAUUUUGUAGGGAUAAGCUUUCUUUGGCUAUGUUAUUUUGAUAAGACAUGAUUACUUGGUUAGUAUGCUUGAAGUAUUAUUAUUUUUAUGUCAAUAUUAAACUUUUAUCUUGAAUCUUUUGGAUCUAAACAUUCAUGCCACAAUAAAGAAAAUUACAUUGAGAAAUAAUCUAGGUAGCAUUCCACAUCAAAAAUUCUGUUUUUAUCAUUUACCUACUUGAGGACAAGCAGGAGUUAAGCUUGGGGAUGCUUGAUACGUCUCCAACGUAUCUAUAAUUUUUGAUUGUUCCAUGCUAUUAUAUUACCUGUUUUGGACGUUUAAUGGGCUUUGUUAUACACUUUUAUAUUAUUUUUUGGACUAACCUAUUAACCGGAGGCCUAGUCCAAAUUGCUGCUUUUUUUUGCCUAUUUCAGUGUUUUGCAGAAAAGGAAUAUCAAAUGGAGUCCAAACGGAAUGAAACCUUUGAGAGAGUUAUUUUUGGAACGAACGUGAUCCAGAGGACUUGGAGUGAAUGUCAAGAAAGAAGCGAGGAGUCCAUGAGGCAGGGAGGCACGCCUGCCCCCUGGGCGCCCCCCCUCGUUGGCCCCUUGUGGCUCCCUUGAUUGAGUUCCUUCUCCUACAUAUACCCAUAUACUCCAAAAACAGCCAGGAGCACAAUAAAUCGGGAGUUCCACCGCCGCAAGCCUCUGUAGCCACUGAUACGUCUCCAACGUAUCUAUAAUUUUUGAUUACUCCAUGCUACUUUGUCUACUGUUUGGACUAUAUUGGGCUUUAUUUUCCACUUUUAUAUUAUUUUUGAGACUAACCUAUUAACCGGAGGCCCAGCCCAGAAUUGCUGUUUUUUUUGCCUAUUUCAGUAUUUCGAAGAAACAUAAUAUCAAACGGAGUCCAAAUGGAAUAAAACCUUCGGGAACGUGAUUUCCUCACCGAACGUGAUCCAGGAGACUUGGACCCUACUCCAAGAAGUGCCAGAGGCGGUCACGAGGGUGGAGGGCGCCCCCCUGGGCGCGCCCCCUGCCUCGUGGGCCCCAUGUUGCUCCACCGAUGUACUCCUUCCUCCUAUAUAUACCUACGUACCCCCGUCAGAUCAGAACAGGAGCCAAAAACCUAAUUCCACCGCCGCAACCUUCUGUAUCCGUGAGAUCCCAUCUUGGGGCCUGUUCCGGAGCUCCGCCGGAGAGGGCAUCUACCACGGAGGGUGAGGGAGUCCUGGAUUAGGGGGUGUCCGGAUGGCCGGACUAAGACCUUUGGCCGGACUCCUGGACUACAAAGAUACAAGAUUGAAGACUCCGUCCCGUGUCCGGAUGGGACUUUCCUUGGCGUGGAAGGCAAGCUUGGCGAUACGAUAUGAAGAUCUCCUCCCAUUGUAACCGACUCUGUGUAACCCUAGCCCUCUCCGGUGUCUAUAUAAACCGGAGAGUUUUAGUCCAUAGGACGAACAACAAUCAUACCAUAGGCUAGAUUCUAGGGUUUAGCCACUCCGAUCUCGUGGUAGAUCUACUCUUGUACUACCCAUAUCAUCAAUAUUAAUCAAGUAGGAGUAGGGUUUUACCUCCAUCGAGAGGGCCCGAACCUGGGUAAAAACAUCGUGUCCCUUGUCUCCUGUUACCAUCUGCCUAGACGCACAGUUCGGGACCCCCUACCCGAGAUCCGCCGGUUUUGACACCGACAUUGGUGCUUUCAUUGAGAGUUCCUCUGUGUUGUUGCCUUUUAGGACCGAUGGCUUCUUCGCUCGUCAACCGCGACUCGGUCCGGGAAGAGACUUUUCUCCCCGGACAGAUCUUCGUAUUCGGCGGCUUCGCACUGCGGGCUGACUCGUUCGGCCAUCUAGAGCAGAUUGAGAGCUACGCCCCUGGCCGUCAGGUCAGGUUUGGAAGCUUGAACUACAUGGCCGACAUCCGUGGGGACUUGAUCUUCGAUGGAUUCGAUCCACAACCGGGCGCGCCGCACUAUCACGAUGGGCACGAUUUAGCUCUGUCAUCGGACAACGCCCAGAGCGUCGCUCAGGUGUCCGCUCCGACCAUUAGCUCGGAGCCCACUACGCCAGUCGGAGACAGACGGUUAGACGCCACCCCGGAAACUGCAAUCUCUACGGCGAUAGAGCCGGAUACCAGCCUAGUCCCUCACAAGGCCCGUGACUCCGAGGUGCCGGACUCCGAUCCGGACUCCGUAAAUCCUGCACCUCUCCCGGUUAAGCCCGAUUGGGCUCCGGUCAUGGAGUUCACCGCCGUGGAUGUCUUUCAGCACUCACCUUUCGGCAACAUCCUGAAUUCGUUAAAGUCUCUCUCUUUGUCAGGAGAGCCCUGGCCGGACUACGGCCAACACGGUUGGGACGCAGACAACAAAGAAAUUUGUAGCCCACCCACCACCCACUUUGUAGCCGCUGUUGACGAUUUAACCGACAUGCUCGACUUCGACUCCGAAGACAUCGACGGCAUGGACGCCGAUGAAGGAGACGAUCAAGAACCAGUGCCUAUAGGGAACUGGAAAGCCACCUCGUCAUACGACAUAUACAUGGUGGACACCCCUAAAGCGGGGGAGGGCGAGGAGAAAACGGAGGAUGACCCCUCCAAGAAGCAACCCAAGCGCCGACGUCAACAGCGCCGCUCUAAGUCCCGCCAAAGCAAAAACGGCGAUUCCGGCACCAGAGAUAACAAUACGCCGGACAGUGCCGAAGACAACCCCCUCCAGCAGGAUUCAGUGCAGGAGAACGAAGGAGCCAGCCCUUGUGAGAGAGCGGCCGACAAAGAGGAUGAGGACGACAAUUACAUGCCUCCCUCCGAAGGCGAGGCAAGCCUCGACAAUGAUGAAUUCGUCGUGCCAGAGGAUCCCGUCGAGCAAGAGCGUUUCAAACGCAGACUCGUAGCCACGGCAAGCAGCCUCAAGAAGAAACAGCAGCAGCUUAGAGCUGACCAAGACCUGCUAGCCGACAGAUGGACCGAAGUCCUGGCGGCCGAAGAGUAUAAACUAGAACGCCCAUCCAAGAGCUACCCGAAGCGCAGGCUGCUUCCCCAACUUGAGGAGGAAGCAACUAAACCUACAUCACCAGCGUAUGAUGCGCCCGAUCGGCCACCCCGUGGCCGCGAUAGAGAGGCCUUCAGGCCCUCGACCCAAGCCGCACCCCGACACCGCUCAAAACAUACCAGAGUACGGGGAGACGCAACAGACCUGCGAGACAUCUUGGAGAAAAGGGCAAGGCAAACAAGAUCGAUCUACGGAUCGCAUGGGCGCCCCGCUUCACGUGACGCUAGCCAUCACGCCGGACAUAAUAAGUAUGGCCCGACCGAAUACAACAGACCAAGCUCGUCCGAGCUGCGUCGCGAUAUAGCUCAGUACAGGGGCGCCGCACACCCACUAUGCUUCACAGACGAAGUAAUGGAUCAUCAAAUCCCCGAGGGCUUCAAACCCGUAAACAUCGAAUCAUACGAUGGCACAACAGAUCCUGCGGUAUGGAUCGAGGAUUAUCUCCUUCACAUCCACAUGGCCCGUGGUGAUGAUCUACACACCAUCAAAUACCGCCCGCUCAAGCUUAAAGGACCAGCACGGCAUUGGCUUAAUAGCCUGCCAGCAGAGUCAAUCAGUUAUUGGGAGGACCUGGAAUCCGCAUUCCUUGACAACUUCCACGACACGUAUGUGCGACCACCAGACGCUGAUGACCUAAGCCACAUAAUCCAGCAACCAGAGGAAUCGGCCAAACAAUUCUGGACACGGUUCCUGACAAAGAAAAACCAAAUAGUCGACUGUCCGGACGCCGAGGCCCUCGCAGCCUUCAGGCACAACAUCCGAGACGAAUGGCUUGCCCGGCACCUAGGACAGGAAAAGCCGAAGUCUAUGGCAGCCCUCACGACACUCAUGACCUGCUUCUGCGUGGGAGAAGAUAGCUGGCUAGCUCGUAGCAAUAACAUAAGCAAAAGCCCCGGCAAUUCGGAUAACAAGGAUAACAACGGCAGGUCACGCCGCAACAAGCAUGAGCGCCGCAUUAACGGUGACAAUACUAAAGAUACGGUAGUCAAUGCCGGAUUCAGAGGCUCUAAACCGGGUCAGCGGAAGAAGCCAUUCAAACGAAACCCUCAGGGCCCAUCCAGCUUAGACCGGAUACUUGAUCGCUCGUGCAAGAUACACGGCACCCCCGAACAGCCAGCCAAUAACACCAACAGAUAUUGUUGGGUGUUCAAGCAGGCAGGCAAGAUAAGUGCCGAGAUCAGAGACAAGGGGCUACAUAGCGAUGACGAGGAGGGGCCCCAGCCGCCGAACAACAAAGGACAGAAGGGAUUUCCUUCGCAAGUUCGGACGGUGAAUAUGAUAUACGCAACCCAUAUCCCCAAAAGGGAGCGGAAGCAUGCUCUCAAGGACGUCUAUGUGCUGGAGCCAGUCGCCCCAAAGUUCAAACCAUGGUCCUCCUGCCCGAUCACUUUCGAUCGACGGGACCAUCCCACCAGCAUCCGUCAUGGCAGAUUCGCCGCACUGGUCCUAGACCCAAUUAUCGAUGGAUUUCACCUUACCAGAGUCCUAAUGGACGGCGACAGUAGCCUAAACCUGCUUUACCAGGACACAGUGCGAAAAAUGGGCAUCGAUUCUUCAAGGAUUAAACCCACAAAGACAACCUUCAAAGGUGUCAUACCAGGGGUCGAAGCCAGCUGUACAGGCUCGGUCACACUCGAGGUGGUCUUUGGAUCACCGGAUAACUUCCGGAGCGAGGAGUUAAUCUUCGACAUAGUCCCAUUCUGCAGCGGCUAUCACGCCCUACUUGGACGAACCACAUUUGCAAAAUUCAAUGCGGUGCCGCACUACGCAUAUCUCAAGCUCAAGAUGCCAGGACCUCGCAGAGUCAUCACGGUAAAUGGAAACACCGAACGCUCUCUCCGAACGGAGGAGCACACGGCGGCCCUGGCGGCGGAAGUACAGAGUAGCCUCUCAAGGAAGUUCUCCAAUCCAGGCGCCAAACAUCCGGAAAACGUCAAGCGAGCCUGAAGUAACCUACAACAAACCCGGCUGGCACGUUCCGAGCAAGCAUAGCAGUACAGCCCCGACCCCAGCCCCCGCCAAACGGCAAUGCUGGUACCACGCGUACAUAAUUACGCCUUAGAGAUACCAUGGGCAUAAGGGGAGGGGCACAACAACGGCACGCCUAGAAUGCGGCUUAACCGCACUAGGGGGCUCCCUAUUUCACCGUUUUCCUUUUUCAUACACUUUCAGGACCCAACUAUUCGGAAGGCCUGUUCGGCAAUACUAUCACCGAACCAACGAUGCAAUAGCCAGGGAGGAAGCAAGCUACGUCAAAAGUCAAGGUGGUCUCUAUAACGAGUUUAAAUACCUGUUUCUCUUACAAUACUGCAGCUUGCCCCUGAAAGGGGAAUAUGUCAAAUACUCCCAUCUCUUGCUUAGCGCACUUUUUGUAUCGUUCUGCUUUCGCAGCAGCCCUUUUUUAAUAAACAAUACAUAGCUCUUAUCUAUUAUUGUACUUAUCUAUUGUUAUAUGCAAACAUGUUCAGUCAUGACACUAUGCAACCGUACACUUUGGCACGGAUAAUACACCAGGGGCUUAUAACACCCCAUAACAUGGUGUGAGAAGACCGAACACUCUAACAAGUGCGGCACCCCGAACUUAUAGCACUAUAUGCAUCGGCUCCGAAUCAUGUCUUUGGUCAAUAGUUGGGUUUGCCCGGCUCCCAUGUUUUGGUACCUUACGUUCCGCAUUGUUUUCUAAGGUAGCGCUGGGAGAACUACUGCGAUUGUGCCCUAGUUGAGCUGGGUUAACACUUCAGUAGAGAAAGCUAAAACUGACUGUCAUGAUAGUGCGAGAGACCGGUCGCUGUUCGCGAGGUUUUUUCGAGUCCUUAAAGACUUAUGCCGCUUCAAGCAAAGAACCGGACUUAUCUGGCCUAGGCGUGGAUAGCGCCCCGAACUCGGUCUUUCGAAUACUAGGGGCUUCGCCGAAAUUUAAAAUUAUAGAAUUCUGUGGCUAAGUGAGAGUGAUAAAGCAUUAUAAGUCCGACGGCCUGGUUCGCUGUGCUGAACGCCUCCCUAGAUGGACCCAAGAAUGGGAACAAGAGCGCUCAGGUUUAUCCCAAACACCCCAGCACUUGUGGCAUGGGGGUCGAAGCCGACGACUUGCAUCUCUCAGAUUUGAUAAACGGCCGCACAGAAGGUAAUAUUUUAAAUUAACAAGCGUUGCUUAACGCAUAUGAACAAAGCUUCAGCGUACAGGAUAACAAAUGCGAGUUUACUCAAAAAUUACAUCUUUGGAGCACUCAUCCGCUAUGCGGCGGGCACCCUUCAGAACGCCAUUAUAAUACAUCUCGGGCGUACGAUACUCCUUGCCCGGUGGUGGCGCGUCCGUCAACAGCCUCUCCGCGUCUAGCUUGCCUCAGUGCACCUUAGCACGGGCAAGGGCCCGACGGGCACCUUCAAUACAAACAGAGUGCUUGACGACCUCAAUCCACGGACACGCGUCCACCAUCCGCCGCACCAGACCGAAGUAGCUCCCAGGCAUGACUUCUCCAGGCCACAGCCGAGCUAUGAGGCCCUUCAUGGCCUGUUCGGCCACCUUGUGGAGCUCAACCAGCUGCUUCGGCUAGUCGCUCAGGGGCACCGGAUGUUCGGCCUCAGCAUACUGAGACCAGAACACUUUUUCCGUCGAGCUCCCCUCUUCGGCUCGGUAGUAUGCGGCGGCAUCAGACACACUACGGGGUAGAUCGGCGAACGCUCCUGGAGAGCUCCGGAUUCGGGUAAGUAGCAGAUAAUUAACUUUUAUAUUUUUGCUUUGCAUAAAGAAUGCCUUACCCGCCGCUAUCUUCUUCAUCGCCUCGAUCUCUUGAAGGGCCUUCUAGGCUUCGGCCUUAGCGGUCUUGGCACUCUCAAGAGCCAAGGCAAGCUCGGACUCUCGAGUCUUCGAGUCACGCUCCAAACUCUCGUGUUUUUCCACGAGAGCCUGGAGCUCUUGCCGCACCUCCGCCACCCGCGCCUCCUGCUUCUCUCGCUCGGCGCGCUCCAAGGCUGCACUCUUUUCGGCCUUGGAGACCGCCUCUUUCAGGGUUACCACCUCGGUCGUGGCUCCUGCAACAUUAACGUUGGUCCUGUUAUUAUUAUUAUGCAACCAAGUAUUUCUAUAUACAUUUACAGGAGGUACUACGUACCCUCUUUAUCCUCGAGCUGCCUCUUGGCACGGCCGAGCUCGCUCUUGGACCGCUCGAGGCUUUCCUUCAAGGCAUUGACCUCCGCAGUCAGUGCGGCAGAGGUCAGCAGCGCAGCCUGCAUUCCCAUAUUGACAUAUUUCUAUUAGACUCCUGCAUAUAUCUUUUAAGAUACUCAGUUCGACUUUUCUUUCCGAACACCGAACUAAGCAUCAGGGGCUACUGUCUAUGCGGUAACAUUUUUUAUAUAUGUUUUUGAACACAUACCUCAAAGCCCGUUAACAGGCUUGUGCAGGCUUCCGUCAGCCCGCUCUUGGCGGACUGAACCUUCUGAAUCACCGCACUCAUAACAGUGCGGUGUUCUUCGUUGAAAGAGGCGCCGUUGAGCGCCUCCAGCAAAUUGUCCGGCGCCUCCGGGUGGAUGGAAGUCGCUGGCGUCGCGGACUUGCCCUUCUUGUGAAGGCGCCGCCUGUCGGGCUCUGGAACCACUGAUGGUUCCGGAGCAGUGUCCGGCCCAGGGCCAUACUUAGAUCCCUCCGGGGUUUUACCCCCUUCGGGUUGGGAGUCCAGAAGGUCGCCUUGUGGCGCUUCCAGGACCACCUCCUCCUGGUUUUGUCCCCUACGGGACUCCACCUCCGUGCCGUUUGUAGGGAGAGGGGAGGAGGCCGUCGGAAGUGAAGCGCUAUUCACAUCCAACGAAUUCAGAGAUCCGCUCGACAAAUCGCCAAGCUGAGCUCUGGGCGGACUGUAUGAUUAGCUUCGGUGUUAGAAGAUAUCAAAUAAUAAAGGAGUGCAAUAAGUCAUUCGGGUAGCCGGACACUUACGAUUUUGCCAGGGGCUUGACCCUGGAAGGCCAGUCCUCCUCGCCGUCUUCGGCGUCGGGGGCGUAGUUCGGCAGAAGGGGCUUCCCCUUCUUGGACCCUCCGGCUUCCCCAGUUGGGGCGGCCUUUCUCUUCUUUCCUCCCCCGCUGGAGGGGGAGAGGCAUCUUCUUCUUCCUCCUCCUCAUCUUCGGAGGCGGAGGGCGCGUUGGAGCCGUCGGGCAAAUCCGACGACACCGGGCGCCGGGAACUCUUUCGGGUCCCCGUGGCCUUCUCCUUGGCCUUCUUCUCCGAUACCACAUGGGGUGCCGGAACCAGUAGCUUCGCUAAGUGUGCGUCUACUGGGCCUUCGGGCAAAGGGGCCGGACAAUCAAACUGUCCGGAUGUCCUCUUCCAAUCCUGUCAAAGGAACGGGAGUUUAGAUCCCACAUAAGGUCACACUAUGAAAUGCAGAUAUCCCGUAAGGGACUAAAGGUAAGCUUACUUCGGAGGCUUGACGUUUGGUGCAGAACCCGCGAUCCUCGGUGACGGGAGGGGAGACCUCGGAGCUUUUGAAAAGCACCUUCUAGGCGUCCUCGUGCUUCGUUUCAAAGAGCCGGGAUAGAGUCUGGUGCCGGGCCGGGUCGAACUCCCACAAAUUGAAGUCCCGUCGUUGACACGGGAGGAUCCGGUGGAAGAGCAUGACCUGUACCAUGUUGACAAGUUUGACCUUCUUGGCCACCAGGUCUCGGACGUAGGUUUGGAGUCCGAUCACCUCUUCUGGAUUGCCCCACGACAGGCCCGUCUCUUUCCAAGAUGUGAGCCGGGUGGGGAUGCCGGCUCGAAAUUCAGGGGCCGCUGCCCAUUUAGGGUCACGCGGCUCGGUAAUAUAAAACCACCCAGAUUGCCACCCUUUGAUGGUUUCCACGAAGGCACCCUCGAGCCAGGUGACGUUGGCUAUCUUGCCCACCAUGGUACCUCCGCAUUCCGCCUGUCGGGCUUGCACGACCUUCGGCUUGACGCUGAAGAUCUUCAGCCAUAGGCCAAAGUGGGGCUGGAUGUGGAAGAAGGCCUCGCACACGACGAUAAACGCCGAGAUAUUGAGGAUGAAGUUCGGGGCCAGGUCGUGGAAGUCCAGGCCGUAGUAGAACAUGAGCCCCCGGACGAACGGAUGAAGAGGAAAACCCAGUCCGCGGAGGAAAUGGGGAAGAAAGACAACCCUCUCAUGGGGCCUGGGGGUGGGGAUGAGUUGCCCCGCAUCUGGGAGCCGGUGCGCGAUGUCGUUACACAAGUAUCCGGCCUUCCUCAGGUUUUUGAUUUGUCCCUCUGUGACGGAGGAUACCAUCCAUCUAUCUCCCGCUCCUAACAUGGUUGGAGAAGGUUGAGGUGGGAAGUGCGGGCUUGGGUGCUGGAGCUCGAGCGCGCAGGGAGGGAUUAGCAGAGGAGGAAGAGCGCGUGAAUGGAAAGGGCGGAUUCUUAUCCCCUUAUAUGGGCGGCCAAAACUACGAGCCCCCACCGGCCUAAUAAAACUCGCUUAUCCCCCAAGCACCGCGGUUAAUGGCGUGGUUGGGUUACCCACACCUGUAUUGAUGAGAAUCCCGGCAUAAGGGGACACGAUCUCUGCUUUGACAAGACGUGCGAAGGAAACCGCCUCGCUAAACGCGCUGAGGUGGAACAAUAAAAUAAAUAAAGAGCCUGGCUGUGGCAUGAUGUCGCGCCACGGAAUGCGUCAGCAGAUCCGAUUGAUACAAAUAUUAUUCUCUCUACGAAGGAAUGUGGAACUUAUUUUGCAGAGCCGGACACUACCCUGGUGUUAAACAUCUUCUAUGAAAUAUUCGGAGGAGGAACCCGCCUUGCAAUGCCGAAGACAACUUGCGUGCCGGACUCGUCGUCAUUGAAGCCUAGUUCAGGGGCUACUGAGGGAGUCCUGGAUUAGGGGGUGUCCGGAUGGCCGGACUAAGACCUUUGGCCGUACUCCCGGACUACGAAGAUACAAGAUUGAAGACUCCGUCCCGUGUCCGGAUGGGACUUUCCUUGGCGUGGAAGGCAAGCUUGGCGAUACGAUAUGAAGAUCUCCUCCCAUUGUAACCGACUCUAUGUAAUCCUAGCCCUCUCCGGUGUCUAUAUAAACCGGAGAGUUUUAGUCCAUAGGACGAACAACAAUCGUACCAUAGGCUAGAUUCUAGGGUUUAGCCACUCCGAUCUCAUGGUAGAUCUACUCUUGUACUACCCAUAUCAUCAAUAUUAAUCAAGUAGGAGUAGGGUUUUACCUCCAUCGAGAGGGCACGAACCUGGGUAAAAACAUCGUGUCCCUUGUCUCCUGUUACCAUCCGCCUAGACGCACAGUUCGGGACCCCCUACCCGAGAUCCGCCGGUUUUGUAACCGACAAAGGGCUUCUACAUCAACACCAUAGCCUCUCCGAUGAAGUGUGAGUAGUUUACUUCAGACCUUCGGGUCCAUAGUUAUUAGCUAGAUGGCUUCUUCUCUCUGGAUCUCAAUACAAUGUUCUCCCCCUCUCUUGUGGAGAUCUAUUUGAUGUAAUCUUCUUUUUGCGGUGUGUUUGUUGAGACCGAUGAAUUGUGGGUUUAUGAUCCAGCUUAUCUAUGAACAAUAUUUGAUUCUUCUCUGAAUUCUUUUAUGUAUGAUUGAGUUAUCUUUACAAGUCUCUUCGAAUUAUCCGUUUGGUUUGGCCAACUAGAUUGGUAGUUCUUGCAAUGGGAGAAGUGUUUAGCUUUGGGUUCAAUCUUGCGGUGUCCUUACCAAGUGACAGAAAGGGUUGCAAGGCACGUAUUGUAUUGUUGCCAUCGAGGAUAACAAGAUGGGGUUUUAAUCAUAUUGCAUGAAUUUAUCCCUCUACAUCAUGUCAUCUUGCUUAAGGCGUUACUCUGUUUUACUUAAUACUCUAGAUGCAUGCUGGAUAGCGGUCGAUGAGUGGAGUAAUAGUAGUAGAUGCAGAAUCAUUUCGAUCUACUUGUCUUGGAUGUGAUGCCUAUAUACAUGAUCAUACCUAGAUAAUCUCAUAUUUAUUCGCUUUUCUAUCAAUUGCUCAACAGUAAUUUGUUCACCCACCGUAGAAUACUUAUGCUCUUGAGAGAAGCCACUAGUGAAAUCUAUGGCCCCCAGGUCUAUUCUCAUCAUAUCAAUCUCCACUACUUUAUUUACUUGCCUUGUUUUUACUUUGCCUUUUACUUUUUACUUUGCAUCUCUAUAUCAAAAAUACCAAAAAUAUUAUUUAUCAUCUCUAUCAGAUCUCACCCUCGUAAGUGACCAUGAAGGGAUUGACAACCCCUAAUUGCGUUGGUUGUGAGUAGCUAUCGUUUUGUGUAGGUACGAGGGACUCGUGCAUGAUCUCCUACUGGAUUGAUACCUUGGUUCUAAAAAACUGAGGGAAAUACUUACGCUACUUUACUGCAUCAUCCUCUCCUCUUCGGGGAAAUCCAACGCAGUGCUCAAGAGGUAGCAAGAAGAAUUUCUGGCGCCGUUGCCGGGGAGUUUGCGCAAAAGUCAACCAUACCAAGUACCCAUCACAAUCCCUAUCUCUCGCAUUACAUUAUUUGCCUCUUGUUUUCCUCUCCCCCACUUCACCCUUGCCGUUUUAUUCGCCCUCUCUUUCCCAAUCUCCUCCUCUCUUUCUCUUUUGCCUUUUUUUUCUCGUUUGCCUCUGCUUGUGUGUUGGAUUACUUGUUGCCAUGGCCGAAUCAAAAAAAACUAAGGGAUUUCUCCCAAGUUCUAGUGCCUUGGAUAACCUAUCUAUCCUUUCUAAGCUCAUAAACAAUGAUGCUACAGAGAGACCCACCGGGAUCACCAAUGAGAAUUUGGAUGAUUUUGAUGAUGAUGACUCCAGAAUCUUUCGCUAUUUACUUGAUGAAUCUUUAAAAGAUGCUUGGGAUAGGUUAUUAAGGAUUCGGGCUAGUUAUGUGCCACAAUAUCAAAUCGAUGUUUACUUAAGAAGUUUCUAUGUUGGCUUGCCCGCCUCUUUCAAACAAGUUCUAGAUUCUAUUUUUGAAGAAGGUUUUCUUGAAGGGGAUGCUAUAGAUACCUAUGAAAAAAUGAAAACCAUAUUUGGGCACCCUUUAAAUGAUAAAGUUGAAUCAACUACCCUCUUGUGCUUUUAUCAAAAUGAAAUUAUUAAAGAGAUGAAGUCUAGCUUGGAUGCAAAUGUCCGUAACGUGCUUAAUCACACCUCAUCCAUUAAUGGCAAUGUUCUUAAUCUGAAUAGAAGGAUGAAUGACUUAGAAAGAAGAUCUUCUUUUGCUACUUACACAUCCAGUGACAAGGAGGGCACUCGUUAGAUCUAUCUUCGCUUUUAUGCCUAGCUAGGGGCGUUAAACGAUAGCACUUGUUGGGAGGCAACCCAAUUUUAUUUUGUGUUCUUUGUUUUUGUUCCUGUUUAGUGUUAAAUUUUGUUUCUACUUUCUGUUUAGAUGUGGUUUUAUGUUUUAAUUAGUGUGUGUGCCAAGUGGAACCUCUAGGAUAAGCUAUGAUAAUAGUUGAUUUGAUUCUGCUGAAAAACAGAAACUUUGCACUCACGAGAAAAAAAUUCAAUAAAUCACAGGAACGUGAUUUUGCAUUGAUUCGUUUUUCUUAUGAUCAAUAAACAAAUUUUCCAGUACGUCCUAUUUUGGUAGAAUUUUUAGAGUUCCAGAAGUUUGCGUUGGUUACAGAUUGCUACAGACUGUUCUGUUUUUGACAGAUUCUGUUUUUCAUGUGUUGUUUGCUUAUUUCAAUGCAUCUAUGGCUAAUAAAUUAGUUUAUAAACCAUAAGGAAGUUGGAAUACAGUAGGUUUAACACCAAUAUAAAUAAAGAAUGAGUUCAUUACAGUACCUUGAAGUAGUCUUUUGUUUUCUUUCACUAACGGAGCUCACGAGAUUUCUAUUGAGUUUUGUGUUGUGAAGUUUUCAAGUUUUGGUUGAAUUCUUUUGAUGGAUUAUGGAACAAAGAGUGGCAAGAGCCUAAGCUUGGGGAUGCCCAUGGCACCCCCAAGAUAAUCCAAGGACACCAAAAAGUCAAAGCUUGGGGAUGCCCCGGAAGGCAUCCCCUCUUUCGUCUACUUCCAUCGGUAAUUUACUUGGAGCUAUAUUUUUAUUCACCAUAUGAUAUGUGUUUUGCUUGGAGUGUCUUUAUUAUUUGUGUCUUUGCUUGUUAGUUUUCCACAAUCAUCCUUGCUGUACACACCUUUUGAGAGAGUCAUACAUAAUUUAGAAUUUGCUAGAAUACUCAUUGUGCUUCACUUAUAUCUUUUGAGCUUGAUAGUUUUACUCAUUGUGCUUCACUUAUAUCUUUUGAGCUUGAUAGUUUUACUCAUUGUGCUUAACUAAUAUCUUUUGAGCGUAAUAAUUUUUGCUCUAGUGCUUCACUUAGAUCUUGUAGAGCACGGUGGUGGAUUUGUUUUAAAGAAACUAUUGAUCUCUCAUGCUUCACUUAGAUUAUUUUGAGAGUUGUUAAUAGCAUGGUAAUUUGCUUAAAGUUAAUAUACUUGGUAUUCAAGAUUUGUGAAACUUUCUUUUGAGUGUGUUGAAUACUAAGAUAAGUUUGAUGCUUGAUAAUUGUUUUGAGAUAUGGAGGUGAUAAUAUCAAAGCAAUGCUAGUUGGGGUGAUCAUGAAUUUAAAGAAUGCUUGUGUUGAAGUUUGUGAUUCCCGUAGCAUGCACGUAUGGUGAACCGCUUUGUGAUGAAGUCGGAGCACAAUUUUAUUUAUUGAUUGUCUUCCUUAUGAGUGGCAGUCGGGGACGAGUGAUGGUCUUUUCCUACCAAUCUAUCCCCCUAUGAGUAUGCGUUUAAUGCUUUGGUUUUUGAUGACUUCUAAAUUUUUGCAACAAGUGCAUGAUUUCUUUUGAUUAAUGUUGAGUCCAUGGAUUAUACGCACUCUCACCCUUCCACCAUUGCUAGCCUCUCUAAUAUCGCGUACCUUUCGCCGGUAUCAUACACCCACCAUAUACCUUCCUCAAAACAGCCACCAUACCUACCUAUCAUGGCAUUUCCAUAGCCAUUCCGAGAUAUAUUGCCAUGCAACUUUCCACCGUUCCAUUCAUAUGACACACAUUACUUUUGUCAUAUUGCUUUUUGCAUGAACAUGUAGUUGACAUUGUAUUUGUGGCAAACCCACCGUUCAUAAUUCUUUCAUACAUGUCGCUCUUGAUUCAUUGCAUAUCCCGGUACACCGCCGGAGGCAUUCAUAUAGAGUCAUAUUUUGUUCUAGUAUCGAGUUGUAAUUGUUGAGUUGUAAGAAAAAUAAAAAGUGUGAUGAUCAUCAUUAUUAGAGCAUUGUCCCAGUGAGAGAAGGAUGAUGGAGACUAUGAUUCCCCCAUAAGUCGGGAUGAGACUCCGGACUUUAUGAAAAAUAAAAGAGGCCAAAGAAGCCCAAAUAAAAAAAAGAGGCCAGAGAAGCCCACCAAAAGAAAGAAAAAAAGAAAAAAAAUAUGAGAGAAAAAGAGAGAAGGGACAAUGCUACUAUCCUUUUACCACACAUGUGCUUCAAAGUAGCACCAUGAUCUUCAUGAUAGAGAGUCUCAUAUGUUAUCACUUUCAUAUACUAGUGGGAAUUUUUCAUUAUAGAACUUGGCUUGUAUAUUCCAAUGAUGGGCUUCCUCAAAAGUGACCUAGGUCUUCGUGAGCAAGCAAGUUGGAUGCACACCCACUUAGUUUCUUUUGUUGAGUUUUCAUAUGCUUAUAGCUCUAGUGCAUCCGUUGUGUGGCAAUCCCUACUCACUCACAUUGAUAUCUAUUGAUGGGCAUCUCCAUAGCCCGUUGAUACGCCAAGUUGAUGUGAGAUUAUCUUCUCCCUUUUUUGUCUUCUCCACAACCACCAUUCUAUUCCACCUAUAGUGCUAUGUCCAUGGCUCACGCUCAUGUAUUGCGUGAAAAGUUGAAAAAGUUUGAGAUUUCUAAAGUAUGAAACAAUUACUUGGCUCGUCAUCGGGGUUGUGCAUGAUUAAAUACUUUGUGUGAUGAAGAUAGAGCAUAGCCAGACUAUAUGAUCUUGUAGGGAUAACUUUCUUUAACCAUGCUAUUUUGAGAAGACAUGAUUGCUUUGAUUAGUAUGCUUGAAGUAUUAUUACUUUUAUGUUAAUAUGAACUUUUGUCUUGAAUCUUUCGGAUCUGAAUAUUCAUGUCACAAUCAAGAAGAUUUACAUUCAAAUUAUGCCAAAGUAUCACUCCGCAUCAAAAAUUCUUUUUUUAUCAUUUACCUACUCGAGGACGAGCAGGAAUUAAGCUUGGGGAUGCUUGAUACGUCUCCAACGUAUCUAUAAUUUUUGAUUACUCCAUGCUACUUUGUCUACUGUUUUGGACUAUAUUGGGCUUUAUUUUCCACCUUUAUAUUAUUUUUGGGACUAACCUAUUAACCGGAGGCCCAGCCCAGAAUUGCUGUUUUUUGCCUAUUUUAGUAUUUCGAAGAAACGGAAUAUCGAAUGGAGUCCAAACGGAAUAAAACCUUCGGGAACGUGAUUUCCUCACCGAACGUGAUCCACAAGACUUGGACCCUACUCAAAGAAGUGCUAGAGGUGGUCACGAGGGUGGAGGGCGCACCCCCUUGGGCGCGCCCCCUACCUCAUGGGCCCCCUGUUGCUCCACCGACGUACUCCUUCCUCCUAUAUAUACCUAGGUACCCCCGUCAGAUCAUAACAGGAGCCAAAAACCUAAUUCCACCGCCGCAACCUUCUGUAUCCGCGAGAUCCCAUCUUGGGGCCUGUUCUAGAGCUCCAUCGGAGAGGGCAUCUACCACGGAGGGCUUCUACAUCAACACCAUAGCCUCUCCGAUGAAGUGUGAGUAGUUUACUUCAGACCUUCAGGUCCAUAGUUAUUAGCUAGAUGGCUUCUUCUCUCUUUUUGGAUCUCAAUACAAUGUUCUCCCCCUCUCUUGUGGAGAUCUAUUCGAUGUAAUCUUCUUUUUGCGGUGUGUUUGUUGAGACUGAUGAAUUGUGGGUUUAUGAUUUAGCUUAUCUAUGAACAAUAUUUGAUUCUUCUCUGAAUUCUUUUAUGUAUGAUUGAGUUAUCUUUACAAGUCUCUUCGAAUUAUCCGUUUGGUUUGGCCAACUAGAUUGGUAGUUUUGCAAUGGGAGAAGUGUUUAGCUUUGGGUUCAAUCUUGCGGUGUCCUUACCCAGUGAUAGAAAGGGUUGCAUGGCACGUAUUGUAUUGUUGCCAUCGAGGAUAACAAGAUGGGGUUUUAAUCAUAUUGCAUGAGUUUAUCCCUCUACAUCAUGUCAUCUUGCUUAUGGCGUUACUCUGUUUUACUUAAUACUCUAGAUGCAUGCUGGAUAGCGGUCGAUGAGUGGAGUAGUAGUAGUAGAUGCAGAAUCGUUUCGAUCUACUUGUCUUGGAUAUGAUGCCUAUAUACAUGAUCAUACCUAGAUAAUCUCAUAAUUAUUCACUUUUCUAUCAAUUGCUCAACAGUAAUUUGUUCAACCACCGUAGAAUACUUAUGCUCUUGAGAGAAGCCACUAAUGAAACCUAUGGUCCCCGGGUCUAUUCUCAUCAUAUCAAUCUCCACUACUUUAUUUACUUGCCUUGUUUUUACUUUGCCUUUUACUUUUUACUUUGCAUCUCUAUAUCAAAAAUACCAAAAAAUAUUAUUUAUCAUCUCUAUCAGAUCUCACCCUCGUAAGUGACUGUGAAGGGAUUGACAACCCCUAAUCGCGUUGGUUGCGAGUAGCUAUCGUUUAGUGUAGGUACGAGGGACUCGUGCGUGAUCUCCUACUGGAUUGAUACCUUGGUUCUCAAAAACUGAGGGAAAUACUUAUGCUACUUUACUGCAUCAUCCUCUCCUCUUCGGGGAAAUCCAACGCAGUGCUCAAGAGGUAGCAGCCACCAAAAACCAAUCGGGACCCUGUUCAUCAUCACGCCGCUCUCCAUGACGAGGAGGGAGUAGUUCACCCUCGGGGCUGAGGGUAUGUACCAAUAGCUAUGUGUUUGAUCUCUCUCUCUCUCUCUCUCUCUCUCUCGUGUUCUUGAUUUGACACGAUCUUGAUGUAUCGCGAGCUUGGCUAUUAUAGUUGGAUCUUAUGAUGUUUCUCCCCCUCUACUCUCUUGUAAUGGACUGAGUUUUCCCUUCGAAGUUAUCUUAUCGGAUUGAGUCUUUAAGGAUUUGAGAACACUUGAUGUAUGUCUUGCAUGUGCUUAUCUGUGGUGACAAUGAGUAUUCACGUGAUCUACUUGAUGUAUGUUUUGGUGAUCAACUUGCGGGUUCCGUAACCUCGUGAACUUAUGCAUAGGGGUUGGCACACGUUUUUGUCUUGACUCUUCGGUAGAAACUUUGGGCACUCUUUGAAGUUAUUUAUGUUGGUUGAAUAGAUGAAUCUGAGAUUGUGUGAUGCAUAUCGUAUAAUCAUACCCAUGGAUACUGGAGGUGACAUUGGAGUAUCUAGGUGACAUUAGGGUUUUGGUUGCUUUGUGUCUUAAGGUGUUAUUCUGGUACGAACUCUAUGAUAGAUCGAACGGAAAUAAUAGCUUCGUGUUAUUUUACUACAGACACUUUAAUAGGUCGAUCAGAAAGGAUAACUUUGAGGUGGUUUCAUACCCUACAAUAAUCUCUUCGUUUGUUCUCCACUAUUAGUGACUUUGGAGUGACUCUUUGUUGCAUGUUGAGGGAUAGUUAUAUGAUCCAAUUAUGUUAUUAUUGUUGAGAGAACUUGCACUAGUGAAAGUAUGAACCCUAGGCCUUGUUUCAUAGCAUUGCAAUGCCGUUUACGCUCACUUUUAUUGCUUGUUGCCUUUCUGUUUUUAUAAUUUCAGAUUACAAAAACCUAUAUCUACCAUCCAUAUUGCACUUGUAUCACCAUCUCUUCGCCGAACUAGUGCACCUAUACGAUUUACCAUUGUAUUGGGUGUGUUGGGGACACAAGAGACUCUUUGUUAUUUGAUUGCAGGGUUGUUUGAGAGAGACCAUCUUCAUCCUACACCUCCCAAGGAUUGAUAAACCUUAGGUCAUCCACUUGAGGAAAAUUUGCUACUGUCCUACAAACCUCUGCACUUAUAGGCCCAACAACGUCUACAAUAAGAAGGUUGCGUACUAGACAUCACUUACCCAUAAGGGUACGGUGUUCGUCAACAAUAGAAGCACUUCGCAGUGCUUCCAUUAGAGUGUCCGGCGCCUCUGGUUGGACAGAGGUCACCGGCGAAAUUGGCGCCUCCUCCUCUAAAAGGAGGCUGCUUGCCAGGUUCCAGUGCCACAUAGGUCUCUGGGACCGUAUUCGGCAGGGGGCUGAACUGAAUGUGGCCCCAACCACCAGUCUCCAUGGGGAUUUGCUCCCCCAUGUGUCCGGCGAUUGAGGUUUCGCCCUCCGGCACCGCCCUGGCGGCCUCCUGAGUCUCACCCUAGCCUAGGAUCCAUUCGGACAACACCUCGGUGUCAUCCAUGGCCUUGGGAGAGGAGGCCGUCGGGAGGGACCCGCUAUCCAUCGCCUGCGGGUCUAGCAAACCCACUGACGAUGAGGAUCGCUCGAGGCCGGACUAAAUCGGACUGCAAAUACACGAUUCAACAUGUUAAGACCAUGAAAUAGAGAGGCCGGGUAUAUGGAUGUGUCCGGGUUUCGGAGUACUUACGAUUCGGCAAGGGGCUUGUCUCAAGAGCGCCGCUUUGGGCUGCUAUCGACGUCCCAUGCAGAGUUAUCCGCGAGGGAACCCUUUCCCUUCUUGGACGCUUCGGCCUCCAGGCGCGUGGGGGCCGCCCUCUUCUUUCUUCCCCCUUGGGGAGGGCAUGGCUUUCUUCUUCCUCCUCUUCCUCGUCGUCCUCGGAGGCGGAGGAAUGAGUCUUGGCAUCUUCGAAUGUCAUGUCCGGAGCACCCUUGCAACGGAGAACGCUCCUGGUCUUCUUCAUCUUCUUGGCCUUCUUCUCCGGUGCUUUAUAGGGCGCCGGAACCAGCAUCUUCGUUAAAAGUUGAACUACUGGGUCUUCGGAUAACGGAGCCGGAUGAUAACCCACAAGUAUAGGGGAUCGCAAUAGUUUUCGAGGGUAGAGUAUUCAACCCAAAUUUAUUGAUUCGACACAAGGGGAGCCAAAGAAUAUUCUCAAGUAUUAGCAGCUGAGUUGUCAAUUCAACCACACCUAGAAACUUAGUAUCUGCAGCAAAUUGUUUAGUAGCAAAGUAAUAUGAUAGUGGUGGUAACGGUAACAAAAGUAAAGACAGCAAAAGUGAUGUUUUUGGUAUUUUUGUAGUGAUUGUAACAGUAGCAACGGAAAAGUAAAUAAGCAAGAACCAGUAUAAGGAAAACUCGUAGGCACCGGAUUAGUGAUGGAUAAUUAUGUCGGAUGUGGUUCGUCAUGUAACAGUCAUAACAUAGGGUGACACAGAACUAGCUCCAAUUCAUCAAUGUAAUGUAGGCAUGUAUUCCGAAUAUAGUCAUACAUGCUUAUGGAAAAGAACUUGCAUGACAUCUUUUGUCCUACCCUCCCGUGGCAGCGGGGUCCUAUUGGAAACUAAGGGAUAUUAAGGCCUCCUUUUAAUAGAGAACCGGAACACAAAGCUUUAGCACAUAGUGAAUACAUGAACUCAUUAAACUAUGGUCAUCACCGGGAGUGGUCCCGAUUAUUGUCACUUUGGGGUUACCGGAUCAUAACACAUAGUAGGUGACUAUAGACUUGCAAGAUAGGAUCAAGAACUCACAUAUAUUCAUGAAAACAUAAUAGGUUCAGAUCUGAAAUCAUGGCACUUGGGCCCUAGUGACAAGCAUUAAGCAUAGCAAAGUCAUAGCAACAUCAAUCUCAGAACAUAGUGGAUACUAGGGAUCAAAUCCUAACAAAGCUAACACGACUACGUGAUAAAUCUCAUCCAACCCAUCAACGUCCAGCAAGCCUACGAUGGAAUUACUCACGCACGGCGGUGAGCAUCAUGAAAUUGGUGAUGGAGGAUGGUUGAUGAUGACGACGGCGACGAAUCCCCCUCUCCGGAGCCCCGAACGAACUCCAGAUCAGCCCUCCCGAGAGAGAUUAGGGCUUGGCGGCGGCUCCGUAUCGUAAAACGCGAUGAUUUCUUCUCUCUGAUUUUUUUCUCCCCGAAAGCCAAUAUAUGGAGUUGGAGUUGGCGUCGGAGAGUCUCCAGGGUGCCCACGAGGUAGGGGUGCGCGCCCAGGGGGGGGGGGGCGCACCCCACCCUCGUGGACAGGGUGUGGGCCCCUGGUCUUCAUCUUUGGCGAUGAUUUUUUAUUAUUUAAUCUAAGAUAUUCCGUGGAGUUUCAGGUCAUUCCAAGAACUUUUAUUUUCUGCACAAAAAACAACAUCAUGGCAAUUCUGCUGAAAACAGCGUCAGUCCAGGUUAGUUCCAUUCAAAUCAUACAAGUUAGAGUCCAAAACAAGGGCAAAAGUGUUUGGAAAAGUAGAUACGACGGAGACGUAUCAACUCCCCCAAGCUUAAACCCUUGCUUGUCCUCAAGCAAUUCAGUUGACAAACUGAAAGAGAAAAAGAAAAACUUUUACAAACUCUGUUUUCUCUUGUUGUUGUAACUAUGUCAAGCCAGCAUUCAAGUUUUAGCAAAGAUCAUAACUAACCACAUUUGCAAUAACUCCUAGGUCUCAUGUCUACUCAUAUCAAUAACAUAAUCAACUAGCAAGCCAUAAUAAUAAAUCUCGGAUGACAACACUUUCUUAAAACAAUCAUAAUGUGAUAUAACAAGAUGGUAUCUCGCUAGCCCUUUCCGAGACCACAAAUCAUAAAUGCAGAGCACCUUCAAAGAUCAAGGACUGACUAGACAUUGUAAUUCAUGGUAAAAGAGAUCCAAUAAUUGUCAUACCCAAUAUAAAUUAACAGUAAUGAAUGCAAAUGACAGUUGUACUCUCCAGCUAGUGCUUUUAAUUAGAGGGUGAUGACUCAACAUAAAAGUAAAUAGAAAAGCCCUUCACAGAGGGAAGCGGGGAUUUGUAGAGGUGCCAGAGCUCGGUUUUGAAAUAGAGGUAAAUUAUAUUUUGAGCGGCAUACUUUCAUUGUCAACAUAACAACUAAGAGAUGACGAUAUCUUCCAUGCUAAACAAAUUAUAGGCGGUUCCCAAACAGAAUGGUAAAGUUUAUACUCCCCUCCUCCACAAGCAUCAAUCCAUGGCUUGCUCGAAACAAUGAGUGCCUCCAACAUUCAACGGGUCCCAGGGGGAGUUUUGUUUGCAAUUAUUUUGAUUUAGUUUGCAUAAAGCAUGGGACUGGGCAUCCCGGGGACCAGCCAUUUCUCGUGAAUGAGGAGCGGAGUCCACUCCUCUUGAGAAUAACCCGCCUAACACGGAAGAUAAGGGCAGCCCUAGUUGAUAUAUGAGCUAUUCGAGCAUGAAAAACACAAUGAUUAUUUGAAGGUUUAGAGUUUGGCACAUACAAAUUUACUUGGAACAGCAGGUAAAUACCGCAUAUAGGAAGGUAUAGUGGACUCAUAUGGAAUAACUUUGGGUUUUAAGGGAUUGGAUGCACAAGCAGUAAUCCCGCUUAGUACAAGUGAAGGUUAGCAAAAGACUAGGAAGCGACUAACUAGAGAGCGACAACAGUCAUGAACAUGCAUUAGAAUUAAUAAACAUUGAAUACAAGCAUGAGUAGGAUAUAAUCCACCAUGAACAUAAAUAUCGUGAAGGCUAUGUUGAAUUGUUUCAACUACAUGCGUGAACAUGUGCCAAGUCAAGUCACUCAAAUCAUUCAAAGGAGGAUACCACCCCAUCAUACCACAUCACAACCAUUUUAAUAGCAUGUUGGCAUGCAAGGUAAACCAUUAUAACUCAUAGCUAAUCAAGCAUGGUACGAUAAACUAUGAUCUCUAAUUGUCAUUGCAACAUGUUUAUUCAUAAUAAGCUGAAUCAAGAACGAUGGACUCAUCAUAUUUACAAAAACAAGAGAUGUCGAGUUCAUACCAGCUUUUCCAUCUCAGUCAAUCCAUCAUAUAUCAUCAUAAUUGCCUUUCACUUGCACGACCGAACGGUGUGAAUAAUAAUAAGAGUGAACGUGCAUUGGACUAAGCUGCAAUCUGCGAGCAUUCAAUAAACAGGAGAAGACAAGGCAAUAUGGGCUCUCGGUUAAAUUAACAAUGAUGCAUAUAAGAGCCACUUCAACAAUUUAAUCAUGGUCUUCUCCUACUGACCCCCAAAGAAAAGAAAAGAAAUAAAAACUAUUUACACGGGAAAGCUCCCAACAAGCAAAAGAAGAAUGGGAAAUAUUUUUGGGUUUUCCUUUUUAAUUACUACAGCAAAGAAAUAAACUACUACUAUUUUUUUGUUUUUCUUAAGGUUUAUUAAACACACAAGAAGAAGGAAAAAGAAAAUAAUCUAGCAUGGAUAUUACGGUGAAAGAGUAAGAGCACCGACAUCUAGCAAUGAGUGUGUGUGAACAUGAAUGUAAUGUCGGUGGGAAAUACGUACUCCCCCAAACUUAGGCUUUUGGCCUAAGUUGGUCUAUUGCCAGGGAUAACCUGGCGGAUACCCGUAGGUGAAGAUGGGGUCAUACUGCGAUGAAGAAGACUCUGACUGCCAAUGGUUGGCAACCACCUCUGGAUCCCAAGAAUAAACAGACUGUCGUGGAGGCUCAUCUCGUGGCUCCGGUUCUGGGGCUGGUGCAGGAUUUCGAUAGGCUUGAACGGCCGCCCACGGAACGAUGUGAGGACCUGCAGACAAGUUAAACAAAGAGGGAGCAGGCAAAGUAAUAGUCUCAGGGUGAUGUUUAUCAAAGUACAAUUUAUAUUUGAGCUCCCCUUCAUGACUCUUAACAAGAAAGUCAUGCGCUAGCAUACUCUUAUAAUCUAAAUAAGCAUGGGGCAACGAUGUUUCCUCUUUCUCCUCAUGCCUAAUAGGUAUUUCAAAAUAUUCAGCUAGGCGUGAAGCAUAAAUGCCUCCAAAGAUGGGGCCCUUAGUACGGUUCGGACUUAACCGUCUAGCAACAAUUCCACCCAUACUAAUAGAGUUAUUGCGGUAUAAAUCAUGGAACAAAAUGACAAUAUCAGGAACACUAAGGUUUCCACAGUUUCCACGACCAAUCAAGCAACGACUAGCAAAUAAGGCAAAGUAGCGUAAAACAGGAAAAUGCAUGCUAGUAAUCCUUGCAUCAAAAACCUUCCUGGUUUCUCCCACCGUGAUAGUGUUAAUAAAAGCUUCUACUUCGUUACGGUGUGGUUCAUCCAAGGUGCCCUCAAAGGGUAUUUUGCAAACCUCGCAAAAUUCAGCUAAUGGCAUCUCCUUAACAACGUCAUAUAAAUGAAACUCUAUUCAUGGAGGUGAUUUCUUAGGGAAAAAGUAGAAGUUUUGCACAAAAGUAUUUGUGAGUAAGAGAUUCUGAUGAUGUUGGUCGCGGAAGAAGUCGGUGAGGCCAGCAUUCUCAAUCAAUAAAUAGAAAUCCUCAUAAAUCCCGACUUUCCUCAAGAAGUCAUCGGAAGGCCAUUCACACGGCCGGACCUCCGCGAUGCAAGGCAAAUUAAAUUUGGGCUUCUGUUCUUCUUCCUAUUGUUUUUCCUUUGAGCUUCGACUCGACGAGCCCCUCAAAAGUCUCUUCAUUAUUUCUGAAAAAAUCUGAAAUUUUUAGUAACUUCAAAUAAAAGUGAACCAACUUCAAUAAAAUUGAUAUCAACUACUCCCACAAGUGCCUAGAGCCUAAAUCAAGCAUUAGAACUACUUGGGACCAUAUGAAUUUGACAUGCAAGCUCAAGAUCAUGGUCACCUAUGCAACAUAAAUUUGCAAUGAAUAGAGCACUAGAACAAAAACUAAUCGGACCAAUGGAGGAGUCACAUACCAAGGAACAAUCUCCCCAAACAGUUUUGCGAGAGGUGCUUUGAGCAAGGAGAUCGAAAAUCACAGCAACAGGGGCUGGAACUCGUGCUUGAGUUGGUUUUCCAUGUUUGUGUGAGGCAGAGGAAGAAGAUGGGUGCAGGGAUAAGUGGAGGAGGGCCACCGUGGGCCCACGAGGCAGGGGGGCGCGCCCAGGGGGGUAGGGUGCGCCCUCCACCCUCAUGGCCAGGUGGCAGCUCCCCCCGUGGUAAUUUUUGCACAGUAAAUGCUCAAAUAUUCCCGAAAAAAACAUAUUAAAUUGGCAUGGCAUUCUGUGGACUUUUAUUUUCAGGAUAUUUUUAUAUUGUACGGAUAAAUCAGGAAACAGACAGAAAAAAUACUACUUUACUUUAUUUCUACUAAAUAACAGAAAAUAUAAAGAGGGUACAGAAGGUUGUGCUUCUAGUUUCAUCCAUGUCAUGUUCAUAAAAAAGAAUCCACUAACAAGGUCGAUCAAGUCUUGUUAACAAACUCAUUCCGAUUAACAUGGAGCCGGAGAAAUUUCGAAUAACACUAUGUUACCUCAACGGGGAUAUGGACAUCCCCAAUAAUAAGUAUAUCAUAUUUCUUCUUGACAGCAGGGAGAGGAAAUUCAAAACCUCCAAAUAUAAUCGAUGGAAUUUUUUCAAUAGAGUUGAUACUAUAAACUUGAGAUUGUUUCCUCGAAAAGUGUACCGUAUGCUCGUUACCAUUAACAUGGAAAGUGACAUUGCCUUUGUUGCAAUCAAUAACAGCCCCUGCAAUAUUAAGGAAAGGUCUUCCAAGAAUAAUAGACAUACUAUCAUCCUCGGGAAUAUCAAGAAUAAUAAAGUCCAUUAAAAUAGUAACAUUUGCUACCACAACAGGCACAUCCUCACAAAUACCGACAGGUAUAGCAGUUGAUUUAUCAGCCAUUUGCAAAGAUAUUUCACUAUGUGUCAACUUAUUCAAGUCAAGUCUAUGAUAUAAAGAGAGAGGCAUAACACUAACACCGGCUCCAACAUCACAUAAGGCAGUUUUAACAUAAUUUCUCUUAAUGGAGCAUGGUAUAGUAGGUACUCCGGGAUCUCCAAGUUUCUUUGGUAUUCCACCCUUAAAAGUAUAAUUAGCAAGCAUGGUGGAAAUUUUAGCUUCUGGGAUCUUUCUUUUAUUAGUAAUGAUAUCCUUCAUAUACUUAGCAUAAGGAUUUGUUUUGAGCACAUCAGUUAAUCGCAUACGCAAAAAGAUAGGUCUAAUCAUUUCAGCAAAGCGCUCAAAAUCCUCAUCAUCCUUUUUCUUGGAUGGUUUUGGACGAAAAGGCAUGGGUUUCUGAACCCGUGGUUCCCUUUCUUUACCAAGUUUCCUAGCAACGAAGUCUCUUUUAUCAUAACAUUGAUUCUUUGAUUGUGGGUUAUCAAGAUCAAUAGCAGGUUCAACUUCUGCAUCAUUAUCAUUACUAGGUUGAGCAUCAUCAUGAACAUCAUCAUUAACAUUUUCACUAGGUUCAUGUUCAUUACCAAAUUGUGUUUCAGCAUCCGACAUAGAGAUAUCAUUUGGAUUCUCAGGUGGUUCAGCAAUAGGUUCACUAGAAGUUUGCGAAGUCCUAUCAUUUUUCUUUUUCUUCUUUUUUGAAGAACUAGGUACAUCGAUAUUAUUUCUCUAAGAAUCUUGCUCGAUUCUCUUAGGGUGGCCUUCAGGAUACAAAGGUUCCUGAGUCAUUCUACCAGUUCUAGUAGCUACUCUAACAGCAUAAUCAUUUUUCUUACUAUUCAUUUCAUCAAGCACUUCCUUUUGAGCUUUGAGUACUUGUUCUACUUGAGUGGUAACCAUAGAAGCAUGUUUGCUAACAAGUUUAAGUUCACCUCUAAUAGUAGCCAUAUAAUCACCCAAGCGUUUAAUCAUAUAAGUAUCUUGUUUUAAUUGUCUACCAAAAUAAGCAUUAAAGUCAUCUUGCUUAAACAUAAAGUUAUCAAACUCAUCCAAGCACUGACUAGCAAUUUUAGUAGGAGGGACUUCAGCUUUAUCAUAUCUAUAGAGAGAAUUUACCUUUACUACCUGUGUCGGGAUAUCGGGAUCAGGAGGUUCUUCAGUGAAUAAAGAAUUGAGAUCAUAUACUUCUUUAACAGGCGGUAAAUUAAGACCGUGUAUUUCUUCAAUAGGAGGUAAAUUCUUAACAUCUUCAGCUUUAAUACCUUUUUCUUUCAUAGACUUCUUUGCCUCUUGCAUAUCUUCGGGACCGAGAAAUAGAACACCUCUCUUCUUCGGAGUUGGUUUAGGAAUAGGCUCAGUAAUUGGCUCUGGAGCUGGCUCAGGAGGUGCCCAAUUAUUUUCAUUUAUCAACAUAUUAUUCAAUAGAAUUUCAGCUUCAUCCGGUGUUCUUUCCCUGAAAAGAGAACCAACACAACUAUCCAGGUAAUCUCUGGAAGCAUCGGUUAGUCCAUUAUAAAAGAUAUCAAGUAUUUCAGGUUUCUUAAGAGGAUGAUCAGCCAAAGCAUUAAGUAACUUGAGAAGCCUCCCCCAAACUUCUGGGAGACUCUCUUCUUUAAUUUGCAUGAAGUUGUAUAUUUCCCUCAAGGCAGCUUGUUUCUUAUGAGUAGGGAAAUAUUUAGCAGAGAAGUAAUAAAUCAUAUCCUGGGGACUACGCACACAACCAGGAUCAAGAGAAUUAAACCAUAUCUUAGCAUCACCCUUUAAUGAGAACAGAAAUAUUUUGAGUAUAUAAAAGUAGCACGAUCUCUCAUCAUUAGUAAACAGGGCGGCUAUAUCAUUUAACUUAGUAAGAUGUGCCACAACAGUUUCGGAUUCAUAGCCAUAAAAAGGAUCAGAUUCAACCAAAGUAAUUAUAUCUGGAUCAACAAAAAAUUCAUAAUAAUCCUUAUCGGGAACACAGAUAGGUGAAGUAGCAAAAGCAAGGUCGGGUUUGAUUCUAUCUCUAAGAGAUUCCUUACUCCAUUUAAUUAGCAGCCUCUUAAGUUCAUAUAUAUCUUGGUAGGCAAAAAUAGCUGCAUAAGAUUCCGCAUCAAAAAGAUAACCCUCAGGAAUAGCAGGCAUAUCUUCAUCAUCACUUUCAUCAUUGUAUUCAGAUUCAAUAAUUUCUCUUUCUCUAGACCUAGAAAUUUGCUCAUCUAGAAAUUCACCAAGGGGCACAGUAGUAUCAAGCAUAGAAGUAGUUUCAUCAUAAUUAUCAUGCAUAGCAGAAGUGGCAUCAUCAAUAACAUGCAACAUAUCGGAACGAAUAGCAGAAGUAGGUUUAGGUGUCGCUAGCUUACUCAUAACAGAAGGUGAAUCAAGUGCAGAGCUAGAUGGCAGUUCCUUACCUCCCCUCGUAGUUGAGGGAUAAAUUGUUGUCUUAGCGUCUUUCAAGUUCUUCAUAGUGUCCAACAGAUAUAAAUCCCAAGUGACUCAAAGAAUAGAGCUAUGCUCCCCAGCAACGGUGCUAGAAAAAGGUCUUGAUAACCCACAAGUAUAGGGGAUCGCAACAGUUUUCGAGGGUAGAGUAUUCAACCCAAAUUUAUUGAUUCGACACAAGGGGAGCCAAAGAAUAUUCUCAAGUAUUAGCAGCUGAGUUGUCAAUUCAACCACACCUGGAAACUUAGUAUCUGCAGCAAAGUGUUUAGUAGCAAAGUAAUAUGAUAGUGGUGGUAACGGUAACAAAAGUAAAGACAGUAAAAGUAAUGUUUUUGAUAUUUUGUAGUGAUUGUAGCAGUAGCAACCGAAAAGUAAAUAAGCGUAAUCCAGUAUAUGGAAAACUCGUAGGGACCGGAUCAGUGAUGGAUAAUUAUGCCGGAUGUGGUUCUCAUGUAACAGUUACAACAUAGGGUGACACAGAACUAGCUCCAGUUCAUCAAUGUAAUGUAGGCAUAUAUUCCGUAAAUAGUCAUACGUGCUUAUGGAAAAGAACUUGCAUGACAUCUUUUGUCCUACCCUCCCGUGGCAGCGGGGUCCUAUUGGAAACUAAGGGAUAUUAAGGCCUCCUUUUAAUAGAGAACCGGAACAAAGCAUUAGCACAUAGUGAAUACAUGAACUCCUCAAACUAUGGUCAUCACCGGGAGUGGUCCCGAUUAUUGUCACUCCGGGGUUGCCGGAUCAUAACACAUAGUAGGUGACUAUAGACUUGCAAGAUAGGAUCAAGAACUCACAUAUAUUCAUGAAAACAUAAUAGGUUCAGAUAUGAAAUCAUGGCACUUGGGCCCUAGUGACAAGCAUUAAGCAUAGCAAAGUCAUAGCAACAUCAAUCUCAGAACAUAGUGGAUACUAGGGAUCAAACCCUAACAAAGCUAACUUGAUUACAUGAUAAAUCUCAUCCAACCCAUCACCGUCCAGCAAGCCUAUGAUGGAAUUACUCACGCACGGCGGUGAGCAUCAUGAAAUUGGUGAUGGAGGAUGGUUGAUGAUGACGACGACGACGAAUCCCCCUCUCCGGAGCCCCGAAUGGACUCCAGAUCAGCCCUCCCGAGAGAGAUUAGGGCUUGGCGGCGGCUCCGUAUCGUAAAACGCGAUGAUUUCUUAUCUCUGAUUUUUUUCUCCCCGAAAGCCAAUAUAUGGAGUUGGAGUUGGCGUCGGAGGGUCUCCAGGGGGCCCACGAGGUAGGGGGCGCGCCCCCACCCUCGUGGACAGGGUGUGGGCCCCCUGGUCUUCAUCUUUGGCGAGGAUUUUUUUAUUAUUUAAUCUAAGAUAUUCCGUGGAGUUUCAGGUCAUUCCGAGAACUUUUAUUUUCGGCACAAAAAAAAACA
RNAcentral lists this long non-coding RNA (46401 nucleotides) under Triticum aestivum (bread wheat). RNAcentral describes it as "long non-coding RNA (TAES_LNC006589)". Lineage: Eukaryota; Viridiplantae; Streptophyta; Magnoliopsida; Poales; Poaceae. The record is from RNAcentral.